CAGAGAAAAAUCAUAAGGACAUUAAAGGAGAGUGUUGAUGAACUUAAUCAAAGGCGAAAGAGCGUAUGGUGGAAUCGGUGGAUCCCAAGAGAGGAAUGAAAUUUGUAAAAAUAGUAAUUUACUUAUGCAUGUAAAUUAUUUUGCAGUCCUCAACCUUAACUUCUCUAGCGGAGUAAAUGAUGUCUAAUAGAGAGUAGAAAAGCAGAUUUUAUAUAAAAAGUAAUGUACAUCAUUCCACUCACACUCGGAUUAAUCCUCUUGUAUGAUAGGAGACGUAUAAAAGAAAAUUUACAGAUAAUCGAUUGUCCCUUCAGUUUUCUGAUUCUGAAUUUCAUACCAUUAUCCUCAGGCAUGCAGAAACACACAUUAACGAAGGCCAAAGAUCAUUCCUGUUGCAUUAUUGUGAGGUUGGUUCUUCUUCCAUGAAGCUGCUUAAUUCAGCCCUUCAUUUCACUUUCUCAAUUUAUUCCUUUUGUAGUAACAUGGAUACGUAGUUCGUUGGAGCUACAAAAAUAGGCAUAUAGAUAGCAUGAUAAUUGACUAAUUAUUUCUGUCUUCCUCACUGGAAUGAAGAUUGUAAGUGGCUAUAAUACGUGUGCAUUCAUCAUUUCCAUAUCCAUCGAAUGGAGUUAGUAGGAAAUGGAACAUCAUAUACAUAGUUUUUUCUUCUUUAAUUUCCUUAACAUUUCUCUUAUUUGCCUCCUUUUCCUAAUCUUGCUUUUCUAUUAGUACUAGUAAUUUCAUCUUGCUUAAUUUGGUGUGUUCGGAAACAAAAAUUUUUCAAAUAUAAUUUUAUUUGUGUCAUAAAAACAUUCUUCAACCACGUUUUUAUAUUUUCAAUUAUCUUUUUAUCUCACAUACAUCAUAUCAAAAAAAGUGCUAUAGCGAUCUUUCUAAAUAAUAUUUUAAGCAAUCUGCCAUCCAAACACACUACGGUAAUUUCAGUUCUGCCACGCUCCAUAAUGCUCAAUUAAAAAUCCUUUCCGGAUCUCAAGGUUUUCACAGCAUACCUGGGAUAUUUCCAGGCAAAAACUGUUAAGGAUGACGAUGAGCCAUGUUAUGGCAUGAGACCUAUCAUUGUGCCAACAAUGUAUUGACCCGUUGUGCUGGAUACGUAUGAGAGUUUCAGAGCUGUGAUAUACAAGUCGGAAUAAUUACAUAUCUAAGCUAAAACUUUAGGAUGAUAAAUGCGUAAAAAAAUAAAAAGGAUAAUGAAUAAGUCAAGCUAAUUCUCUGUUCAUGUUGUGUUCCCUACCCAUAGAGGAUAUAGGGCUUGUUUUCAAAUGAUUCUAAGUAAAUUAAAACAAGAAGAUAAAUGUUUUUAGCUUCUGAUCUGAUUCGAAUUAUGAAAAUCAGAAGCAUCUGUGAGAACUUAUCUACAAAGUUUGAGGUUCUCUGCAGAGCUGACGACUUCAUCCCCGAACUUACAUGGCAAUUCAUGGCUAAGUAAAACUUAAAACUGAGGCCAACGGUGACGGCCAGAUAACCAAAAAUUGGUCUCGUUGUUAGUUGAAAACAUUGGAAGCAAUUCUGACAUGCUUAGGAUAAGUAAUUAUUGUUCGUACAGUUAAUUAACUGUCAUCAACUCACUAUCAAGAAAGAAACCCUUCAGUCCCCACCAUCAUCCUACCUUCCUUCCUCUCCUGAGGGAACUCCAUUUAUGGAGAUUUGAUACGCCCGUAAGAAUACAACUCAUGCACUACUAUGCUUCUUACUACUGAUAUUAUUACCCAUUCGUGCUGGCUUAUGGCAGUUGACACCACAAUUAGGCUACUUAACAUAUUCAAAUCUGCAGAAGUAGCGUCAUCAAUAACUAAUUUACAACUAAGCACUAUUGCUUUGCGGAUGAACUAGCUUUUAAAUAAUUUAGGUGAAUAUACCUACCUAUAUAGAGUUCAAACGUUGGUGGCAGCAAUAAUUAACGAUUAGUAGCAUAAGAUGAUGUCGAGAAUAGCAGGAACAACAACCGUAUCAACCAUGAGAGCUUCACGUGUGACCUGACCUUCUUGUUCAGGCACACAAAAGUCCACUUUUUCAGCCCUUGACAGUACAACACACACCCCACCAUAGUCACUUCAAAGUAAGCCUGGAAGACUCGGAUUAUGGCAUAGUACAAGUUUCUUAAUCAGCACUGUCCCCCUCAGACUUGUUUUCUUUCUUUUAUUGAUAUUUUCCCCUUACCCAAUGUGGUUUUUGGGUCAUAGCCCAUCGUAUGAUUUUAUUGGCAUUUCAAAGUUUUGAUUAGCUUUGGAUAUUUCAUGGUUCAUGAUCAUUUGUUGUUUUAUGCGUGCAUAGAACAAUGACUAUAGCUUACUGAGUCAUCCUGCAUCUAUUUUAAGGACCUGCACAUUGCUUUAUCAUGAGCUAUGGAGCUUGGACUCAAUGUAUCAUGAUUUAACCUUGACUCAGACAUAAUGAAAAUCCAUCAUGGCGGACGAAUUCCCCAUAAGUUAGGUCCAUCUACACGCUUAACAUAAGAUUUGAAAGGAAAAAUUCUUCACUAUGUAAUUGCUAUCAUGCAUUCAAACUCAUCAGUAGAAGAAACGUUUUUCUAUGGCAUACCCUAGUAUCCACUAAAGGAAAGAGCGAAAAAAAAAAAAAAAAAGAGAGAGAAAGAAAAACCAUGUAUUACAAUUAGUUCAAGCUGACUAGAAAAACCAAUAAAACUUUAAUGUCCUAGUCAAGGAGUUGGAGUGUGAAGUGUUACAUUACGUUAUGUAAUUACUUUAUACUCCCUCUCUUUUUUUAUAACUGACGUUUAAGAAAUUUGCUUUUAAGUACUUUUAUCUGUCGUUGUAUUAUCCACAUGCAGCAUUAAUUAUUUUUUCACAAUUUUGCCCUUUUAUCUCUCUUUAUCAAUACAGGACUCUUAAUUACCACUCCUAGUAAUUAUUACUUCUCUCUUUGCUUUUGGCCUAAUAAAACAGCAUCAUUUAAUACUCUAGUGAGAGAAAACAUGAGUGAAUUGGACAAUUAAUGAGGGUACAAAAGGAAAGUAGUGUAUAGAUUUAAACAAUGAAAAACUUUUCUUAAUUGGUGUGCAAAACCUUAAACGUCAGUUAUAAAAAAAGGGAGGGAGUAUAAUGAAGUGUCAUGCGUUAUAUUAUGUUGUUGCUUAAUACCUUUCUUUAUAUCGAGUGAUGAGUUUGAAUUGAAGACAGCUUACGUGAGCUCAGAAACUGAGAAUGGCAGCUUCAAAACUGCUCAAAAGAAAGAACCCCCAAAAAAAGAAAGUAAAAAAAAAUCUUAAAUCAAUAGUUUAUUAGAACUUUAGGUUACUGAAAGCUGGUGUCCUUAGUGAAAUGGGAGGAACACGAGAUAAAGCAAGUGGGUUGGCUUUGCUUGGUAACCUGAUCAUCAAGAUUAAAUUAACCAUUCACUUAAUCGAAUUUUGUGCUGUUUCCCCACUAGAUUUCAGCAAGAAAGGAGUAGUAGAAAAUUCAGCUAUGGUCAUUGCUUGGAAAUGUGGUUUCUUGGGUUCUUAAAUGCUGGUGCAAUAAAAGAGAAUAUGGCGGGGUAAUUGAAGGCUCACGUGAGGCUUAGUUUGACCGUUAUUUUGAUCCGAUUCCCUCGACAAGUAGCGUAAAAAUUCUCGUAAUUAAGCCAAAAUAUGCAGGGCAUACGAUGUUGAAACUUCCUUCCAUUUUUGCAAUUUAAUUCUCUCAAGCAUAUCUUUCUUUGAUCCCUUUUGGUUUUCAAUGUCAUUUUCAGAAUUUUCUAGCACAAAACUUUUUAUGGGUUCUUUGCCUUCAAUUUAUUUUGACAAAUUAUGACAAAAUGUUUCCUACAAAAAAUUCAAUGUCAUUUUACUUUGAGCAGAGUGAUUUCCAUUGGAAUUGUUGAAGACGAUCCUGCAAAGUAAAACGGUGACAAGGCAUCUUCAUUCAGCAAGUUCUUUAAAUUUCUCAUUCAGGAUGUUUUUUUGAUACCCUUAGCUUAGUAGGGUAAAUGCUUUAAUGCCAAUCCGAAUUUACUGAUACUCGUUGUGGCAGUCAACCUAAGAUGACUGAACCCAGAUAUGAUUUCUCCUGUUAAAGAUAUUAUUACAAAAAAAAAAAAAAAAUUCUCAAUAAAAUUGAUUCGUUCUUGGGUCAAUUCAAACUUUUAUUGUUUGCAUGGCAUGCCAACUGUAAGUUUAGUGCUUCAAGAAAAAAGAAAAAUGGAAAUCAAAACUUUGAAUAUAACACUUUGUAUAUCAGUGAUCACUAUAGUGACCCCUACUGAUACAGAAGGCAGAAUUCCUGGAAAAAAUGUUGCCUUGAAGCCGCCACUGCACCCCAUUGUCAUACAUACUGUCUCAGUAACUCCCAGUUAUACAAAGCAAAUACGGGAACUGUUGACUUGAAGUUGCAACCGCACCCCAUUAUCAUACCGAAUUGUCCCAUAUGAAUAAUGCUGAUGGAAAUUUUGCUGGAUUAGAUUGGGAUAAUUCAUUAUAGUAGGCUCUAUUAGGUGGUGCUUUACUUUACAUGUACGUUAGUUAAAAUGGGCAUUUUUUAGUAGGAUCCAACUGAGACCCUCACUUUGUCUGUUUAGGUGGAUCCGACUCAAAUAAGACAUGAACUUAAAUGAGUGUACCAGAAAUAUGCAGGAGAAGGGUCAUUUUGACCAAAAUUAUCACCUCAUCAUCAACACUAUUGCAAGGCAGCUCAUAAACUAAGGAAUUGUGCUACCUUAUUGAAGUAAUGGCUGACCCCUUAUGUUGGUAGGUGAUGCAUGAUAACCAGAGUUGUAUAUAGAGAAUGACAUGGCACUAUGGCAUUGAAUCUACACUUGUACAAAUAUGCAUUAGUAGCGGUAUUUAUUUACUCACUAGUGUUUGAAUAAUUUUAAUCUUUAUUUUUUUUUUCCCCUCCAUGUUGGGGGUUUAUAGCAUGGAAUCCCAAGUGGGUAUGGGACCCUUAUGGUACUGUCUGGUGAGCUAGGGGGCACUGCACACCCCUUGAUGCCCCAUAGUUGGCUCUUUACUCGACCGAGGCAAGUUUGGGCCACACUUGAAACUCCUUAUAUAAAGAGCCCUUCUUGCUCUUUGUUCAUCACUUCAAUUUCAGCAACUUCUUCAUUCAUCACUUGUGAGUUUACCUGCACCAAAGCACAAAGAAGAAAAAAGAACACUUCUUGCAAACUAUUGUAGAGAAGAUGAAGAUGAGCAGCACAAACAUGGGAAGCUCCAAGAGAAGAAUUUCAAGCAGAGGACUAGGAGGGGUCCUAAGAGAGCAAAGGGCUAGGCUUUACAUAAUCAGAAGAUGUGUGGUCAUGCAGCUUUGCUGGCAUGAAUGAAGAGUAUCUUUCUAGUUCUAUCUAGCCUUCAAUAAGAAGGGAUGCUUGUUUCUUUCUUCUUCUUCUUCUUUGAUCAUCUUGGGGAGUGUAAAUAGCAAAGGCCGAGAUUAGUGAGAAAGAAGUUAACAAUUUUGUACUAAUUAUUAAUUGGCUUUAUGAGCCCUCGUGUGUAUACAGUCGGAUAGCUUAAUGGAUUGAAAAAAUCAUCUUUAUCAAUUCAUUGAGUCUUAGUAAUUCUUUUCAUUUCCAUUCAUAUUCUCUCCUUUGAUAUUGUGUGUUAUCAUUUCUGCUGUGGAUUUUUGAAGAUGGAGGACUAGCUAGUUCAUCAGCCAAACUUAAUCAAGCUUUUGCAGGAUGAGGACAUGCCCACAAAAUUGGGUAGCUGAAGUCUAAUUCACAUUAAUCUUUACCUUCUGGUGAUCGGCUAAUCAUCCUUAUGUGAUCAUUUCUUUCAUCAGUCCUCAUGGAGGUUGACUAGUUUAUUAUCCUCACAAUAGUUCGCAUUCAUCACGGUCCUCAACGUACACAAAAAACAAUGAAGAUAAUGAAUGCUUGGAUAUUUAAGCAAUAGGGAACUGGUGAUGAACGAGUUGGGAAGAUGUAUGAUUGGAUUCUUUAGUGCUAGCUCAAAGUUCAUAUCAACUUCAAUUUGCAGAUUUUUCUACUUGUAUUUUCUUUCCUGAAUUAUUCGAAUAUCUGGAUCCCCAGAUUCAGAAUCAGAUGAGCAGGACUUCUAAGUUUCUUCCCAGAAAUUAAAAUUCAAAAAUCCAGCUCUUUGGAAGACUUUUUUUUAUUUCGUUUUAUUUUGGUAUUGGCAUUGGAUUGUUUUCUUUCCUGCAAGAAGUAGUACUAGUACUUCCCUGUUGUCCAAAUUUAGAAGCUACCUAAGCCAUCCCACAAGUACCAGAGAAAACAGGGGUGGAAAAAUUUGUAGUCGUUUUAUUAGGCUUAGCCAGUCAGGUUAUAGCAGAUACGAUACAUAUUACACUUAAUUUUGCAGGCUUUUUUUUUUUUUUCAGAAAAAAAAAGUAGUUGAUAUUUCUAGAUUUAUGCUCUUUAUUUCUGCGCAUAAACUUGAAUUAAACUCUUGACUGGUGCAAACAAGAAAGGGAAAAAAAAUAUAUAGAUUAUCUUUAAUUAGGAGAAUAAUGACUAAACCUUUUUUUCUUUAUAUAUAGAUUUUGAGGGAAUUAUUAUGUUAGCAAAAACCUAGAAAUAGUAGUAUUAUUUCCUGCUGUUUUAACACUUUCUGAUUAUCAUGUAGGCCCUAUAAUCAUUUAAAGUGAUAAAUGCUGUGAUCUUACUUUCCUAGUUUCCAAUCCAGUCAAACUAUUUACAAACUUUUUGUACUCUCAGGAAAGCAGGUCCAAAAAAGAGACAGUAGCAUCUUACUGCAAAGCAUUAUGUUAUUACUUGUUACAUACUUAAUUAACGAUUUUGAUUGUCGUCUUGUGAAUUGCAGGUGCAACAAGAAAUUGACUUAAGACACUAAUUGAUAUAUUUCAUCUGUUUCUUUUGUCUGCUUUUGAUAAUUGAGGGUUUGGUGGCUACAAAUUAAACAUGAAAAUUUAGCUAAUUAAGCUUUUAAUAAUAAUUAAGUUGGAGACUAGUUAGUUUGUGACAACGUAUUGUCUUGAUCAUCUUGUCUUCAACCAAACCUGCAUUAGCGAAUUUCAAAGUAUUCUAGUCGAAGAAAGAGAUGUUGGCCCAACCAGACAACGCCACUGACCCUUAUGUUAAAUCCUGUGAUUAAUGAUUAUCCUAUCCAAGGGACAUUGGAGUCUAACCUUCAUUUCAUUAACAAUUUGUGGGUAAUUAAGGGACUCCAACCUAAUAUUUACAUGUGCCAUGCAUAUUUAUUUAAACUGAAUUAUUAAGUAGUAGUAGAAUUGAAAUAAUAGCACAUAAACUUAAUUAGGAUAAACAGUCAGAUAUUAACACUUCAAACUAUGCUGAACUAGAAUAAUCUUCUUGGAAGGUACUAUUCAUUAUUCUCUUUUUCUUUUCUUUUUUUUUUUCCAUUUUCUCCCAAUUAUUCAGCUAGAGUUGGGCCAACAGGCGCCUAACAACAAAAAGAAAAACUAGUGCCAGAACCAGGCUGCGGCAAAAAACAAGAUAGGAUAAAAAGGAGCAAAAUAUUUGUAUUUUAGUGAUCGUGAGGUACCACAAUAUUUAGUUGUUCUAGUUGAAUUAAAACUUAGGUGAUAGUGACGAACUAAAAAUAAUGGAUAUCAAUUGUCCUCUUUGUUUAAUUUUUAGUAACAUUAUACACAAAGUCUAAAUUUCAAUCUGCAAAUUUACUAUUAAAAACUUGAUAUUUAUAAAUCAAAAAAAUAAUUUUUUUUUAAAUAGCGCGUGAGUGAGAGGGUUCGAAUUCAAAAUCUCACAUUUGCACUCUUUUAUUUUUAAAUAAAAGAGUGCUCUAUAUAUUAUCAAGAAACGUGCCAUCUAAAAACAUGCAACAUAAGAAAUAUCGCUCAUCUUCUGUUUAUUGGAUGCCAAAUCAAUUAAAUGCCGAAUCAAAUUUUGAUGUAAGAUGGUUGAUGUUUCAUGUUUCUUGAAGAGAUUUAUGAUUAAAACGUCAACUUUUAUGCUUAAAUUCAUCUGGAAUCAAACUUACAGCGCGAAGCUUACUGCGUUUGCCAUUCAAUUCUUGCGGCAUCAACAUGAUCUGAUCUGCGAUCAUGUUACUAAAACUGUUCUUUUCUUCUUUCCCCUUCAAAAGAAAAACGAUCAUGCACAGAAAGAAAAGGUGAACCGGAAAAAUCAAACAAAAGUGCUGUACAAGAAAGAAAAAAUAAAUAAUGGCAAAUGGGGUGAAGGAGUUGAAACAGUUAAAAGUCCAAAACUGAAGUGGGGCAAAGAUUGUCAGGCUGCACAGGAGCUGAAUCGCUAAUCUAAUAUUCUGCUGUCGGCCACAUAACAAUUGCCAUCUCAUCUCGUCUCAGCUAAGCCAAAAUUGAGGUGAGCUCAAGAAAUGGAAGUGAUGGAGCCAACCCCCGACACAAUAUGUGAUCAGUCAAAAUGGCAGCCUUAUCCACCCCCACGUGCAUUUUCUUAUCUUCAACCCCACCACCACCACCAUCCCAGCCCAUGAGGCAACCACCACCACCACCUCCACCUCCACAACGACCAUGACCUCCCUCCCCUUUCAAACCCCCCCAGUCCCCACUCCCUGUGAUUCUUUUCUAAUCAUCAAAAAAAUCCCCAUCAAAGUGGUCCGCCCGCCUACCCCUCCCUAGGCAUAUAGAUUCUUCCUAUGUAGUACUCGUAUACUUACUUCCAGUAUGGACUUGGACUAACAUGCAUACAUCAUCACUGCUGAAAAAUUUAACCGAUAUAUCUUCAAAAAAAAAAGAAAGAAAGAGAGGAACGUAAAACUUGUUUCAAGAUUCAGAUCAACUGCUAUAUGCAUGUAUAUAUGUAUGUUUGUGUGUGUAUAUAUAUAUCUUCUUGUACUUGGGAUGCAAUAGACGUUCAAUGCCAAUAUCUGACUAAGAUAAUUCAUAUCUCCUUCGUUACGUACGCUUGAAUGGAUGGUUGGCUUUGCAAUGGAUGAUAUAUCUCCCAGUUUUGGGGUCUAAUCUUAGCACCCGCCAAGCAUAUAUGCUCGCCCGUUUGUAGAUACAUCUGGGUGAAUUGAUGCGUAGUUUUGGUAGGUAAGGUGAGUCAGAGUUGAUAAGAACAGCUGACUAACGAGUAACUGGGUGGAAUCAUAAUUUACGUAAAUUAAAUGGGUCAGAAAGGCAAUUAUAUGAUAGGUCUACGCGUGUCAAUAUUUCUUCCCCUCCCAUGCGGCCCUUUGGCAUAGAUGCAAAGGAAGUGGAAAGCCUGGAAGGGGUUUCGUUAAGCUAGGGGCGGAGCCAGGAAAAAAUCCUAGUGGGGGCAAAAAUAAUACUAAAAUUUUUUAUUUACUCUUUUUCUAAUUUUUUAAGCAAAAAAAAAAAAAAGUUUCAGGCAUAAAAACACCGUUUCACAAGUUAAAAUAUUUAUCAAAUAACUCAUUUAUUAGUUAUUACAUUAACUAAUCAAUUUUCAAAUUUCUUUAAAACAGUAAUAGUCUCAUGCUCUAGAAAUAUAUUUGCAAACAAAUUUAAAAUAAUAAUAAUAAUAAGUAAUUGUUUAGAACCUGAUUUUGGUGGUCUCCUAAAGUUGGUGAAAAGAGUUGCAAAAUGUGGCGGACCCAAGUCCUAAAAGAUCAAUUGAUUUUGGUGCAAUCUCUAAAUAGAAUGAAGUGAUCAAAAGAAAGAGUAACAAACUUUGGUUGUGGAAAAAAAAAAUGGCUCUCCCGUGUAUGUUGGGGAGUGGGGACAACCAAGAGUCAGAUAAAGAAAGGGAAAUUGGGGAGUGGGGGCAAAGGAAGUAAAUGAUAAUUGGAUGAAGUGAUAAAAAGAAAAAAAUAGUUGGCUUGGAUGUGGAAGAAGAGGAGCCAGUUGUGAAGGGAAAUGGGGGACCACAGGAGUAAAGGGAACUUGGAGAGUGCGGACCAAAAGGAAUGACUGAUAUAAUUGGUACUUCGCCCUGUUGGUGGGAAAAUGAGAACUAGAGGAGGAAAAUGAAUGAUAUAAAUUUUGUGAUCUAUUCUUUCACAUUUUUUCUAAAAAAAAUUCUGGAAGCACCUUUAAAAUUAUGUCAAAAUUAUAGAUGUAUUAUAGGAAUUUAAGGGGAGCAGUGGGGCCGGUGCCCCCACUUUAAAUCCGCCCCUUGAGCUUAGAACCUUGGAAGGCUUUGGUGGGCAUCAUCACUUGAACUCAUUUCUCAAUUGUUUCUGUCAAUUGUGCCCGCAAUUAUUCGUUGUGAGAAAGUGAUUACAGAUGGGAGCAGUGGGCGCUUUCAUGCUAAAAGAAUGUGCUUUUGUCCACCUCCGAAACACCCCCCCCACCCCCUCCCAAAACCCCCAACCCUACAGCAAUUACCUCUGACUUGAAUAUAAAUUUAAAUCUAACAAAGAAAAUGAAGAAAAAAGGGGUUUAUGUGAUAAAUUUCUCGUAAUAAAGACGUGAUUACCUUUUUGCUGGUUAGAUUACGUUUGAUCGUUAGUCAUGAGGAUAGUUUGUAGGUAGGUUUCAUCAACGUAAAGGGUGAUUUGUUACUUACCUCUAAUGAGAGGGGGGUAAUUGAAAUUUAGCCUGGAAUGAAAGGAAGGAGAAAUCAAUCAUGCAGAGUCUAUAUAUCUUUUGAAUUUUUUAUUCUUGUGAGAGGAUUUAAUAUUGAGAAUCGAGAGGCCAAUGCAUUGCGAUAGAAACAAGAGAAGAAGAAGCCAGAAGUGGUCCAUUUCCACAUGGAUUAAUUUAACUCUUUCGGACUUGUGGCAUUAGGGGUUCAGCCUAGAUGGUGUCUUAUUGGGACACAGCCACUCAUGCAGCUCUGCAUUGCUUCUUUUUCUUUUGGUGCUUUGAACUUUGAAGGCUUGCCUGCUUCAUGAUGGUCAAGAAACUAAACUAUAGAUGUAAAAAAAAAAAAAACACACUCUUUUUUUCUUUCCAACCUCAAUGUCCUCCCUGUCCACCUCCAAUAAUAUAUCUAUCCAAAUCGAUCUGUGUGGAUGAUUGCUGAGAAUAGUAACCUUUUGCAUGCAAUUAUAUGAUCAAGCGUCUGCGUGUACAUGUGUGAAUUAACUGUGCUGUAGGAUUCGGCCGCGAAGAUAUAUGACAAAGUUUUGCAAGAUUCAAACGACUCAUGAUUUGAAGUUAGAGUAACAAUCAAUACGAAAAUGAGGGGAAAAAAAUGUUAUUGCAUGAUUACGAGUAUUGAAUUUACGUGACAAGAUCCAAUUCACAGGGUCCCUCCAUUGUGAUGAAAACAUUGCAUUUCACCUACAUUUGCUACCAUUUGACAUCUACUCCUAACUCUUCUGCCCGGUGGCGGAGGGAGGGGGGGAGUGACUAGCAAUAACUUUGUUUUUGCUCAUAAUAUUUUAUAGAUUUUUUUUUUUUUUUGGUAAUUUUCUUUUAACUUGUCCUCCCUCCGAGUCCGCAGGUAUUGUUUACCUUACAUGAUCUCUUGCCUUCUUCCCCUCCUCCUGUAACUUGACUUUUUGCCUAAAAAAUGUUAUGGUCCUUCUCUUCUUUAAAUUGCUGCCCAAAGUAAAACAUACUUAUUAUGUCAAAGAAAUCCUUGCUAAUUGGAGUAUAUCUUUUUGUGCAUGUAUUGUGUACAAGUUAAUCAGUAAAGAUUGUCAAAUAGAUGGAACAUUGGGUGGGGGUUUAAUCAGUUAAGAAAAUGAAAUCAAUAAAGUUAUGAACUUUCACAAAACGAUCAUUCUACCUGAAGUUAAAACGGAUGACACAUUUAAUAUCUAUCCUAUUCUGCACAUCAAUUAUUUUAUCUGCAGGAUAGGAAAAUCGGGUGUUACAUGGAAAUGCUACAACUCGUUAUCCAACUUGAAAAUACCAUUUAGAAGAUGACUUUAAGUUCACCACUUAAACCACUCUUUACUCUCAAGAAUCGAAACUGAUAAUCCUAGCAUGGCAAAUAGUGUGUGUGUGUGUGUGUGCGUGUGAAGUAUCUAGGCAGAAGCAAAAGGGUCCUGGAAAGGUGGAACUGGAGUGGACAAUAUUGUGAUAAAAAAAGAGUGUAGUUGCUGGCACAUUUUGGUGAAACUGCCCUCUGUCGAAUGCUUUAUACCGCGUUCCUUCCCACAUCAUCUCAAACAAGGAAAAAGAAAAAGAGGUACGAGACUUUCAGAUCAAAGUUUGGUGAUUCUUGAACAAAAGAGACACCUAAUUAUGACCCAGCCUCAACUUCUUUUUAUCUUGGAAGAAAAUUUUAAGUGACGAAUCAAAUGAGCAUCCAAAUCUUUGGAGUGCAUAUCAUCAUACUUAUUUAUUGUCUAUUACUCGCUCUUAGAAUUAUGAUAAUAGAGAAAAAAAAAUUAGAUGACCGUUCGUUUCCAAAAUUCAAUUUAACUCGUACGAACAUUAGUGUGAUCAUGAGUUUUCUCGUUCAACUCUUUAACCUUUUCUUUUUUUCUUUCCCCCGCUAAGUACUAUUCUACAUUUUGUUGAUUCGAUAUCUUCUUUAUUCAAACAAAUAUUUGGCCAGCUAGUAACACAAAAAAGAAGAAGAAGAAAAAUUACUCCCGCUUGAGCAAGCUGCCAAUGUAGGAGUGGAGCGUGCAACACAUGAUGUUCUACACCCCGAAAGUCCCAACCCCCACCCUUUGAGAGGGCACAAGGUCCACAACCGCACCCACCAGGCAGAGCAAUUACCAAUUCUGCAUCCUAGAAUGACUACUGCUGAAACCGAUCAUGUUAAGGCUAGGACCAGUCGUUUCUAAAAUCCAUUUAUAGGCCAACCAUAAUAUGACCUGUAAGGUUCUUAGGUUCAAUGAAUCCUUCAUUUACGUUGAUGGGACAUAUGAAUCCAUCUUUGUUCCAACGAAAUAAUGGUUGACCUGAUGCUGGAAUUCUCUCGAGUUCUCCGUUGAGUAUUCUAUUUAGGUAUAUGUACCUUAAGGGUCUGUUUGGUUCAUGGAAUGACACAGAAUAGUAUUUUUGAAGUAUAGAUAUAUAUAUAUAUAUAUACACACAAAACGGAUAGGCGCGAUCGUGAGUACUAAAUCAAGAUCUAAUUCUUACUACAUCAUAGUGUCUUUGGAGUACAUUAGCCCUUUUUACUUUAUCUCUCUAUGAAGAAUAAAUUAUCCUUACUUAAAGAAAAUAAUGUCAGCAGAUAUAUGGUAGUUUCCAUGAAUCCAUUUUUAGACAGAAAUUAUUGAGAGCUAUAGGGAGUUCAAAGUUUCAUGAGCUGCGGUGUGGUGCCAGAUUGUAUAAGGGCCCCAUGUAGCGAUUUUUUGUUGGACUGAUGAUUCGAUCUUUACAAACAGGUGUGAACAGAUAGUUCAGCCAUCAGUUCUUAAUGCUCUUAGUGGACUGAGGGACCAAAGCCCAGAGUUUGCCUAACAAGGACAAAUAUCAUAGGCCCAACAAUGGGCUAUUUUUUAUUUUUUAUUUUUAUAUUUUUUUAGUAUGAGUGGGAGGACUCCAACCAAGUUUUUAGAAAAAUUCCUACACUUUCACAGUGGAGAUGUUUCACUUUUUUUUUUUUUUGUGGUGUUCCAUUUUAAAUUUUUUUUUUUUUUUAAUGGGGGAUGUGGAGAAGAAGCAGGAAUGAAAUAAUGGGCAUAAAAACAGAGAAAUUUGACUAGCAAGUGACAGUAAUCAAUUGUCUUAACUAUUGGACUAAGGUUUAAUGAUUAGAUGCACUGUGCUCUUCCGCUGUGUUCCAUUUUGCAGGCUUCGUCAUCCAGAACUUUCAGCCCAGUAACCUUUUAUCCUGGAUCCAAAUGAGCCACCAUGACAUGCAGAUGUAGCUUCUAAAUCUGGACGAAUGGAGCAAAGUUAUCUGUCUGGGUUUGUAUGCUUUUUGUUCUUUAAUUUGAGCCAACUCAGGCCCAAGUAUGUUUCAUUUGUCACUCCUUCAAAGCAUGGCUCAAAAGCUUUAGCUUGACAUGCAAAUGAGCUUUGUAAUGCUUAAGUUUUGAGCGAACCAAGCAAUCUACAAACAAGUUCGUAUUUGCCUUGUUUGAGUUCUUGAUUUCGAACACAAAAUUAGACUGGUGGAAUAAUUUAGCCGCCCUCUCUUCUCCUCCCUUUCUUAAAUCUGGUCGUAUGAUUCGAUCGUGACCAAAUCUAUUCACACGACAAAAUUCCAUUGAAAAAGAGGACGAAGGUGUUUCGUUAACCCUUCCCUCUUCCCCCACCCCCUCUUCACGUCAUCACCUCCACUUUUCCCUCUCUCUCCUCCCCUUUCAUCCCCCUCCCUUGCAUUUAGAGCUGUUAAGCGUAACGAGCUACUCGAAAGCUCGUUAAGGCUCGGAUCGAUAAGGCUCGAGCUCGGCUCGUUAAUUUCAAUUAACGAGCCGAGCUCGAGCUCGAUAAAUACUCGUUGAGUUAUCGAGCCGAGUAAGCUCGAACUCGAUUCUUUAUCGAGUAGCUCGGUUGAGCUCGACAAAGAAGGGUAUUUGUGUCAUUUUAGCAGUCAACAAGUAGAAAUUUGGACUAGGGUUGAUAUUGCAUCGUCUCAUACUCUCAUUCUUCAUUUCUGCCUCUCCCUCUCCGCUGCACGCCGCACCCAGUAACCCACAGCCGCACCCACAGGCCACAGCCCCGCAACGCCGCAGCUCCGCAACCCUGCAACCCUGCAGCCCGGAUCUGGAUCAACCCUGCAACCCCGCAGCUCCGCAACCCUGCCAGCCCCGCAACACCGCAACCCGCAACCAGUAACCCACAGCCGCACCCACAGCCCCGCAACGCCUCAGCUCUGCAACCCCGCAGCAACCCCGCAGCCCCGCACAACCCCGCAACCCCGCAGCCCGCAACCCCGCAACACCGUAACCCCGCACUCCACAGCAAGCCGCACUCCACAGCUGCAACCCACAGCAACCUCUGCCUCCACUGCCGCCCACAGCCUCUGUUUUCUGCCAUUAACAACCCCGUCCACGGCCAGGGCCAAAACCAGUCCAAUUUGACUGGUUUCUCUAAUCCUUCGUGAUAUUUGGUAAGUCUCGUCUCUUUUCGUAGGUUAAUUGUACUGAAUGACAAGAGUUCAUUCUUGUCUCUUUUCUGGUUUAGUAGCAGUUGGUAAUGUAGUAGUUGACACAUCUCAUAUGUACAAGGAUGGAUCAACAAAUUUUCUUCUCGCGUGAGGACUGCAUCCAACCUCUUUGUUUUAUUCCUUUCUGCAAUAACUUGCAGUUCAAUCAUAGAAAUUUAAUGUGGAAAAUCUAGAUUAUGCUUAUUAAUAUCUGAUAAUUUUAAAGAGUACUCGAAAAGAUAACGUCUGAGUUUUUGCAGUAGUUUUACCUUUUCUUCAUGGAUUUCUUGGGGGGAUGGGGUGGGGAAGCAAGAAGUGUUCUGCUUGUGGGUAUAAUCUGCUGCUAAAUGUGCCUAUAAAUCUUUUCUAAAACUUAAUUAUUAGUACAAUUAGAUAUUGCACUUCAAUAUCUGGAGGAUUGAAAGGGAAGAAAAUAAGUAUGGUUGAUUAAGACUUCUUAUUUGUGAAAUUUGAGAAAAAAGAUGUAAGGAUGUUAACCUUGAUAUCAAAAAAGCCUUACGGACUUAAUUUGGACAGCAUACUUCUUUUUUUUUGGGUAAAUUUUUGAUCUUUUGAAUGAAACAUGUCAAUGUUCGUGAGCUAACUGUUGCACUAUCACAGGGAUUGAUUGGCCUUUCAUUUCAUUUCAUUUCAAUUUCAAAGUGUUUGAUUAGUUUGAUAUUUUCGUCUUGGGGCCAUUUAUGUGUGUGUGAAUUGAGUUAAAUGAAUUGUUGAAUGAAUAAUAUAGGCACUACACCAUAUGUGCCUUCAUCUAUUUUGUUCAGCCUCUCGAACUCAUCAACACUUUUACAACCCUGAAGCAUGUUCACGGCCCUUGGUGGAGGAACUGCAUGUUCUGGUGUCCCGUGGGAGUUGUGUUCAUCAUCAGAACCAGUAUCCGCAUUGCUACCACUGGUUCCACCAUAACUGCGAUCUUCAUCAACCUCCAUGUACUCAUUCCUGUCCAAUUCAUCAGGAUCACUAUCUCCACUAAAGGAUCUAACGCGUUCAUCAGAAGACCUGACCCUAUUUCCCACUGAACCUUCUCUCCUCAGUUCCAUGUACUCAUUCCUUGUGAAGCUGUACUUAUUCUUGUGAUUUCUGAAGGGGUUGUACUUUUUCUUGUCAGGUGUUUGAAGUUGGACAAUUUUUAAGCUAUGUAGCAGUGUUUUACAUGGUUAUUUGGCUGUAGUUUGUGCGUUUAUUUGGCUGGACAAAACCUGUUAUGGUAUAUUGGCUCUUAUGAAUGUUGUUUCAUAUGGAAUUAGACUGUAGUUUGUGUAUUUGUUGACUGCAGCCCUGGAGUUUGUGUUGUAUGGAUCAUGGAUGUUAUGGUCUUAUUUGUCUUGGAUGAAAUGUGGUUAGAGUUUGUGUAUUGUUGAAUGUGAAUGGCAUUGGUUGCCAAUCCUAAUAUUUUUUGUUGAUUUUGGAUAGCCUAAAUCUGGAUAUGUUGGAGCAGGACUUCGUAAAUAACUGAUUGUUGAAUUUUGAAAUCGAGCCUCAAAAUCGAGUCUCGAGCUUCGAACUCGAGUCUAAAAUCAAGCCUCGAGCCUCGAACUCGAGCCUUGAGCUCGGAUAGAUAUUUCGAGCUCGAGCUCGAGCUCGUCCCGAGCCUGGCUCGUUUAUGAUAAACGAGUCGAGCUCGAGCUCGAGUUCGAGUCACAUUUCCUUUUUUCGAGUCGAGUUCGAGUGCGUAUUAUGGCUCGUUAGCGCUAUCGAGCGAGCUCGAGCUUGGCUCGAAUUCGUCACGAGUCGAGCUCGGCGUUCAGAUACUCGGCUCGACUCGGCUCGAUUAACAGCACUACUUGCAUUCCCCCACCACCUUCCUCUUUCUCCACAUUGGUUCCCUUUCUCCUUCACCCCCGUCCUCCCUUCCCCCUCCCCUCCUUGAAUCUAGCAGGAAUGAACGACCAGGUUGUGACCAAAUCUGGUCACACAACAAGAUCCCAUGGGAAAGGAGGGAGGAAAACCUAAAACAGGAAGGCGGGGAGGCAAGAAAUAGAAGGUGAAGUGCUACAAGAGGAGAAAAGGUGGAGAAAAAUGAGGAAAUGGAAGGCAGAAGAACAGAGGGAGGAUAAGGAAGGUGAGGUGGUAGAGAAGGGAAAAAAGAAAGAAAAGGGAGUAACAGAGGAAACAGGAAAAACUGCAAAUUAUAAAAAUACUCCAAAUAUAUUUCAAAUUUUAAAGGCACGUAAAAUACAAUUGCACAGUAAAUUUUUACUAUACAAUCCUAUAGUAUAAUUUUUAUAAAAUAUCCCAAAAAAUGUCUAAUCCAUGCCAAUCCAUAGGUUUACAUAUGAUGGUAUCUAUAAUUGUAAAUGAAGUAAAACUUGAUAAGCCACCUUUCCAUUUUCUCGCAUGACCCUAAUCUUGGUCUUAUCUCGAUAAAAAGAGGGAAAAAUACAAAAGAAAAUGCAAAACAAAUAAAAAAAUGUCAGAAAAGCACAUUUUAGUUAUGAUAAAAUAAACAAAAGCAUACCCAUCAAGUUACAAUUGUAACAGGUACAAGGAAGCUGUCAUACAAACUUACGUUCAACUGAGAAGCUAGUCAAAACAUGGGCUACUAUAUGAGCCUAUACAUCAUUCAAGUAUUCUGAUUCAAAAUGAACAUUUUUAGCAAGAAGCUUCAAAUUGACAGCUUCAAAGUCAGUCGUCCUUUCUCUCCAUUCCGUGCUUCAGACAAAAAACCCACCUGUGCUCCUGCUUGUCAAGUACCGUGCUCCUCAAUGUCAGCAGAUUUGUUUCCACCCCAUGAUAUAAAACUAUCCUGAGAUGCAAAUUCCUGCAAUUUGUUUCCACCCCAUGAUAUAAAACUAUCCUGAGAUGCAAAUUCCUGCAAAGCACUUGAAACCUUGAACUAGAACUAAAGAAGGUGAAGGUAGUAGUAAACUAACCAAGAUAAAGUAGACUACUAAUAUAAUAUGAAGCAGGGAGAGGAGGUUUGAACUCACAAGCUGGCUCAACCGGAAGUCAGGAGGUGUAUCUAGCUCCAGGUUUACUGGAUCAAGGACCAGAUCUUGGCACUCUUCUAAAUCUUUCUUCAAAUGUUCAGGUCCUAAGUGGGCAUAAUCAGCAAGACGAGGUUUGGGUUUUAAUUCUUGCUCAUUUUUAUCUCCAUCUCUGUUUGGAGAUUGGCUCCGUAGAAACUCAUCACAUAAAGAUAGUGCUUCUACAAGUUGCUGUGAGUCUAGCAAGUAUUGUGAUUCACUAUCCCACCACUCUCUCUUCUCACCAGCAUCAUUGUCGGUUUUAUCAUCCUGUUGAUCAGCAAGAUCCACAGCAGUGACAGGAUCUUCACAAUUGGGCUGGUCGCUUGGAGGUCUAACCUCAUCUUCCAUGCAAACCACACCAUGAUGCUACAGAAUAAUUAACAAUCACUGAAUGAUAGAUAAUGGAGAUGUUAAUAGAAUUUCUAAUUCUCCACCCUGGCAAGAGUCCUCUACCAUCGUGAUUUUGGUGGUUGUGCUACCCCGCAAACUUCUUUUUUUAAAGUUCAUAAAUGAGUAUAAGAUCAAUACAAUGAACAAAAAAUGAUGUAACAGCCACAGAACACAAAGGUGCCUUUGAUUGGCGGUCAUAAGAAGCAAAAUGAAUGGCAAAUACUAAACACCCCCACCCUUCAUGGUAUCUGGAAGUGCCAAAUUGAAAUGAUUUUAAACAGGGAGGACCCAACUUUACCUGAGCCGCUGGAAGAACAGAUUCUUGGGCAUCACAAUCAGGGAAGUGGCUUUCAGUACGAGGUGGUUCAGGGGUCACAGACUUGGGAGUAACAGGAUCUACCUUGACAAUCGAGGCAUCAUCUUCUGGAACUUCUACUUCAGCCUUUUCAUUCUGCUUGACCUGUUGCUGCUGAUAAAAGACCUUGGAGAUAACAUAUUCUCCCUCCCUUUCAUCUUCCUCUGUACCAAGGUGAUACUGGUGCAUCACCCAAUUAGUCUUCUCUGGCUUGCCACCUCUUACUGGGCUAAGAUACAGCACCAUAAUUUUUUUACAUCCUUUUUGUAUACAAUCCAAAUGAACAGGCUUUGUCCGACCAGUCUUAUGCCAACGAACAUCUCCAGAACUGUCACCAAGUAUCUUUCGACGUUUUCUAGUUCCAGUAUUAUAAGCUUUGAUUGCCCUGUGAAAAAAGUGUGCUACACUUCCAUCCUGUUUAACACCUAAAAACCACUACUUUAAAAGACUGAAGUCCAAAGAAAACAAUUACAAACCAAAGCAUUAAAGUGGAAUUAUUAAGUCUUGUAUAUGUAAACAUAACCUACCAGGCAAAUUUUGAGGAUGGGUAUAGCAGAUUCCAUCAUCUUCAUUAACAGUUGGAAUAAAUUCUUCAAUAAAAGGAUGGGGCUUCAUAUUUUCAAUUCCAACUUUUCCAAGUAAAUGCCAAAUAAUUUCUUGAUCAGAUGGAUCAAACUUUACCCCUCGAGGUAAUCCCGGCCACUCUUGGGUGACCUGAAAAAACAAAGACAGAAGAAAGAAACAAACGAUUUUCAGCUUUCAGUCUCUAACUGCUCCUAUGCACUUUUAAUAUGAGGAAAACAUCUUUUGGAAAACUGGCAACUAAAUGUUCUGUUCAUCUCACUACUAUGUUUUUGCUCUAGCAAAGCAAAUGGGCUUAACCUUCGACACAGCCACAUGGGACAAAUACGCAUAAAAGCAUACCAAAAUUUUAACGAAGCUGAAAAUCAGAAAAUCAAUUCAUCCUGCCCCACAAUUAUUGAUUUCUCUUACACAAUUAAAAAUAGCAAUGUCCAUAGGCUUUCUCUUACACAAGUAUUUUUGCAUUUCAACCACACCUAAAAGAACAAUACUGAUUAUUAAAUAAUGAUCCAAUGAAGAAAGCACAGGCAAGUAGAAAGAGAUGGGUCACAGAUAUUAAAUAUGAUAAUCUUUCUUCUCAAUUAACCACUCCCAGAAACUAAUUUCCAACAAUAAAUUUGUGUUUCUGAUUAAGAAGCAACUACUGCUGAAGCUUGUUCCAGAUAAUAUGAUGCACAUCCAUUUUGAGAUAUGCAAAAAUUUAUGAGAGAAGAAAUAUACAUCGCUAUUGUCAAUGACAUGCUGACAAUUUGGGCAAGUUUUUGUAGGAUUGCUUGUCCAGUUAACUUGUUGCAGAUUACUUGCGCCAGAUGCACUCCUAAUUUUGGUUGCAAUUCUGUUACUAUCAACCAGCCACGAUGGUCUGCAUAAUUUCACGAAAUAAAUCAAGUUCAUGCACUGAACAGCUUGAAAGCUUAAGAAGUGCCAAAGCAGAUGAGACCCAUAAGAAUAGAGGAUAUUGACACGGAAGUAAAUAUUAGACCACAUAUAAUUAGGAUUCUACAGCAUACAGAAAAUGUAUGAAAAUAUAGAUUUGAAAAGUAAGCAAGCAUAAUUAGCAGCACAGGAAAAAUGUACAUAAGAUUUCACACCAAUUAAAGCAUAAUCUUGCCAAACAAUAAAAUCAUUUCACAUUCACUACAUCUGGAUUUGCAUUUAGAGGAAAGAACCAUACUUAGAAGCACAACAAAAUCAGUGGGAAGAUACUUUGCUCCUCUACUAAAUGCAAAUCAAUUUCGAAACUUUUCUCAACUUCAUCCUUUAAUAGGCAGCACAGAGUAAACUUCUCCAAAGAAGUUGUUUUUACCAGCCAGAAAUAAAUACAUCCAUUGCUUAUUAUCAAUAAAAGCUAAUGAGGUUUAUCAGAAGUUAUGUUAUGAAUAUAUAUAUAUAUAUAUAUAUAUAUAUAUAUAUAUAUAUAUAUAUAUAUAUAUAUAUAUAUCCUUUAAGGAGCUACCUGCAUCCAAAAGAAUUAUCUGCAGGCUUAAAAUUUAGGACUACAGGAGUCAACAAAAUAAUUUCAUUCUUUUAGAUGUUUUUCUAUUCAGAAUAAGAAUUACACUCCAUUAAGUAUUAGAAAUUUUCUUGAAUAACAUUAAAUAUCCAAUUCAUGUUCUCGUGCUAAGUUUUACUCAAGACACGUCAGACCUCAUUUACCUGAAAUAAUGGCCCUUCUCUUGCAAAUACAAGUCAUGUUAUCUCACUUUGCUCAUUUCCAAACAUAACUAUUAUGGGAUGUUGGCCCCUUUCUCAAGAUGAAAAAAAAAAAGAAACAAAAAAAAGAUGACAAUGGAGGAUAUUCUCCUAAUAACAUCUGUUCCAACAACUGAAAAUGGCUAUGGUUCAUAUCGAUGUUUGAAUGUGAUAAAAAUUGCAUAUUUAUACGAUUUUGACUUGAGCCGGAAAGCCUUUGCAGACAUCCUCAACUUUCUCAAUCACAAAACAAACACAAACCUGAAUUAGUUGACUUCUUGUGUAUUACUGAAUUUAAUAGAUCAAUAUACUCAAAACUGACUACAUUCACCCAUUAAAUGAAUAAAAAAAAAUAAAUGAAUAGAAAGGGGCAAUCACAACUUCUCGACUGUAAAAUCGGGAAAGCAAGAAAAUCAAUCCCCUGAAAACCAGCAGGCAAAUAUUCCCACAUUGACCAUUCAACGCCAGAACCAGCAAUUCUUUUUUAGCUACAUGCAGCUCUAAACGUCUUAUAGGAAUAUCAAGCACCAAAACUCACCGCUAUCAACGAAAACUCACAUGAUAUAAUCACAUGCACAUAUAUCUCCAACUGCAAAAAAUAGAUCUUUUACGGAGGUUGCAGCUACAAGUUUAAUUUUAUAUUUUUGUUUUAUAGCCUAAUCAGAAUUUAAAUUUUUUUUUUUUUUUUUUAUAAGUGGGAGGUCUUGGGUUGCAAGAACUCCUACUUACAAUCCCCCUCCCUUACCAUCCAACUCAACCCUCCCCGCCAUCGCCUAAUCAGAUAAGUAAAAAAUAGUUAAUAAACAACAAACUUAUUUCCAAGAAGGAGGCAGAGGGCCGGGUUGGGAGGAACCAUCGCUUUAUCGGAAACACUCAGAGUACAAAACCACCACCACCACCAUCAUUUCCCAAAAAAAAAAAAAAAGGCUUCACAUGAUCUUUCAGGCUAAUCCACAAAAUGGGUAAAGCUGAUAAACCAAAAAAAACAAAAACAAAAUCCGUUCUUUCAUCAAAACCACAAGACCCAACUCAGAGUUGACCUAGAAGAUUCAAUAGAUACUCAUAAAGAUUCAAUCUUUGCACUAUCUACAAGUCAAUGAGUUCGACAAAAUCAAGUCUAUGGUGAAUUUUCAGUAAACAGCACAAGAGGAAUAAAAGGAAGGAGACCACAAGCAGAGACAUACCGAGCCAUGGGAGAAUGGAUGUGAUCAAAGGCAGCAAAAAGUGAAACAAAUGCCCCUUUUCUUCUACUAUUUAAUGCUUUGAAUUCGUACUGCAACUAGUGCUUCUACAGUUCUCCACCUACUAAUACAUUAACUAUUAAAGCAUCUUGGGAAUUUCCCAAAUAAUAGUAGUGUAGUUUAAGAGGUUUCAUAAGUGUUUUCAGUUUUCCUAGCCAUUAUAUACUGCUAUGUGCUUCGGACGCAUUUUUUGGUGAAUUUUGAAAAAUUUGAAAGCGUGUCUUGGCAUUGUUUCAGUCUACUUACUGUGCUUUGAGUACGACGAUGAUGGUUUGACUAUUGACUAGACAACCUGUGAUUAAUCAAUACCUACAGAAAAAUGGAAUUGAAAGUGGAAAAGGCCAUCAACCGACACUUAGUAGGAGUUUGGCCACUGAUUGUUUUAUACUAGGCCACAUGUUGUUUGAUUUAUGUUCAUCUCAAUAAUGCUAAAUUGAUUGUUGCCUUUUUUUUCUUAAUGCUAUUUUACAUCGUAAACAUGUUUUCGGCAACUGCUAAAUUGAUUGUUACGGUAUAUUUUUUUUUUUAUAAAUUAUUCAAAAUAAUCUCUUAUCGACACACACUCUCGGACUGUUUCUAAGAGCAUAAUGUUUUAUUUAUGAGAGGAAAAAGUCCAAAUUGUUCAAUACUUUCCCACAAAAUACUAGCAAUUUGAUAAAAAGUUUAAUACUUUGUUCUAGAUUGUUAGGUAAUACCACAAGAAUCAAACGUGUAAAGAAGGGCUCAAAGGUGGAUCAAAUUACUUGAUCCUUAAAUCAAGUUCGUUCAUUUUCUAUUUUCUAACUCGUUAAACAAAUCAUAAAGUAUUUGGUUAAGUUUCAAACCUCGCUAGAGUUUGGUUUGAUUAGCAUAAAUUUUGAAACAUAUAUAUAUAUAUAUAUAUCAAAUAUCUAUACUAUAUAAAAAGUUUGAGAAAGGGGUUUGGGAUUAACAUUUAUCAUCAUUUUAUAAACCUUCUUUUUUAUCCUUAUAAAAAUUACUUUUAUUUUAACUACCUAUAACUACUCAUGACUAUUUUUACUUUUAACUAUUUAAAUAUAUGUUUUAAACGUAACUAUUCCUACAUAUCAUAGCUACCAAUAUAAAAUUAUUAUAUAAAAUAUAUAUUUAAAAGAUUAAAGUUUGUUUUAGUAAUAACAAUUUUAUUUAAAACAUAACCGAUAAUAUUAUGUAGUUUUUGAUUGCACAUGCAUUAGUGUGUAUUGAGUAAUAGUUAAAUUUAGGGAUAAUUUCAGAAACCUCCCCUGAGGUUUUUGACAUUUACACUUACCUCCCCUGUGGUUUGAACAAUUACACUGACCUCCCCUGAGGUUACUAAUCCUUUACAAAUUCAGUCCAAAUGAUUAAAAUAUUAUUUUAGAGAGUGAAAUUAGAAUUUUGUACCUGAUUUGUCCUUUGUGUCACAUGUCCAAUGAAUGGCAAAGUAUUACAAAUUAAUUAACAAUUAAUAAACUUUAACGAGCGUAGUUUAUAGGCAAAUACGUAUUGCCUAUUUAAAGUACCAGCUCUUUACAUGAAUUUUAUUUUCAAGCAUUUACUUUAUCACAAAUAUUUAUUCUCAAAUACAGAUUUGUAUUUAUUCUCAAAUAUUUAAUUUUUGUUAAAUACAAAACCUACCAGUUUUUCUUCCGUAGAAAUAUUAAUAUAACAUUUUUUCAAUUUCAAUUACAAAUAUUUAUGUAUUUAACAUAAAUUAAAUGAUUCAGAAUAAAAUACUCAUAAAGAGCUAAUACUUUACUCAUGUAAUGGAUGAAAGCCAUAAAAAAUUAACAUUUUAUAGGCCAUUUCUUUUUUUUAAAAAAUUUUAAUUUAUAUUAAAUAGAUAGCCUAUCGAUUUUCUUUUUACAAGAAUAUUAUUGUAACACCUUUUAAUUUUUAAUUACAAAUAUUGAUAUAUUUAUUGUAAAUUAAAUAUUUAAAAAUAAAAUAACUGUAAAGAGCCGGUACUUUAAAUAAGUUAUGCGUGUUUGCCUAUAAACUACACUCCUUACUUAAAUCAAUAAACUACACUCCUUAACUUAAAUCAAUAAACUAUACUCCUUACUUUAAAUAGUGUAGUUUAUAGGCAAAUAUGCAUAUCCUAUUUAAAGUAUCGGCUCUUUACAGAUAUUUUAUUUUCAAAUAUUUAAUUUAUGAUAAAUAUAUUAACAUUUGUAAUUAAAAAUUAAAAAGUGUUAAAGUAAUAUUCUUGUAAAAAAAAUCAGUAGGUUAUCUAUUUAAUAUAAAUUAAAUAUUUUUAAAAAAAUAAAUGGCCUCAUAAACUAUUAAUUUUUUAUGACUUUCAUCCAUUACAUGAGUAAAGUAUUGGCUCUUUAUGGAUAUUUUAUCAUAAAUCAUUUAAUUUAUGUUAAAUACAUAAAUAUUUAUAACUAAAAUUGAAAAAGUGUUAUAUUAAUAUUUCUACGCAAGAAAAACUGGUAGGUUUUGUGUUUAACAAAAAUUAAAUAUUUGAGAGUAAAUACAAAUCUGUAUUUGAGAAUAAAUAUUUGUGAUAAAAUAAAUGUUUGAAAGUAAAAUACAUGUAAAGAACUGGUACUUUAAAUAGACAAUACGUAUUUGCCUAUAAACUACGCUCGUUAAAGUUUAUUAAUUGUUAAUUAAUUUGUAAUACUUUGCCAUUCAUUGGACAUGUGGCACAAAGGACAAAUCAGGUACAAAAUUCAAAUUUCACUUUCUAAAAUAAUAUUUUAAUCAUUUAGACUGAAUUUGUAAAGGAUUAAUAACCUCAGGGGAGGUCAGUGUAAUUGUUCAAACCACAGGGAAGGCAAGUGUAAAUGUCAGAAACCUCAGGGGAGAUUUCUGAAAUUAUCCCUUUAAUUUACUCAAACUCAGUUCGAUAAGAGUUCGAUUCAAUAAAUAAACAUAUCAAGUUUAAACAUAAUAUUCUUUCUUUGAGGAGAGAUUGAACAUAAUUUCAAGUUAAAUAAUAAUAAACAAAUAAGCUUGAACUCUUUCACUUCAGAUCAGUAAUGUAAAUGAUUUUAAUUAAAUCAAACACUUUUUUUUUUUUUUAAAUCGUUUACGCCACUUAUCUUAAGUGGAUACUACUAAAGCUAUUGGCAGUGGGCUGACUGUGAUGAUUUUUCUCACGCAAGCAAUUAUAUAAUAGCCCAUAGCAGUUAGCAUACACAAAAUUGGUCAAUUUGAAUUCCAAACAGACACAAAAUAAGCCCAGCAUAGUAAAUCGCCCAUAACCCCACAACAAGCUCUAUUAGGCUGACCACUGAUCCACUGCCAAAUUGCCACCUAACACAACUUAGCUCCGCUCUGCCCCCUGCGCAAAAACUCGGGGGUAAAAAAAAACCGCCACAACUCCGGCACCGUACGAUGAGCAGCAAAGCCCGUAAUUUCCGCCGCCGCGGCGGAGAUGACGCUGACGACGACGAAGACAACGACAAGAGUACCAGAACCCCCACCACCAACGGCUCCACCACCACAUCAUCAAAACCCCAAUUCAAAUCCAUUUCCUCCGCCACAAGACCUAAAAAACCGGUAACUGCAGUUCCCAAAAGCCGCCUGAGCUUCGCUGACGAUGAGGAAGCCGACGCCGACCAAUUGCCCAUUAAACCUCGUCCCUCUUCAUCAAACUCUCGUCUCCCCAGACCCUCUUCUUCUUCCUCUUCUCAUCAUAAGCUCAGCUCGUCUAAAGACCGAAUUGGGCCUCAAACGACGGCGUCGCUACCUUCCAAUGUGCAACCCCAAGCUGGAACUUACACCAAAGAAGCCCUCCUUGAGCUCCAGAAGAACACUAGAACCCUCGCCUCUUCCCGUUCAGCCCGGCCCGAACCUCCCAAAUCGAAGCCCGAAGUGACGCCCACUGAGCCCGUUAUCGUAUUGAAAGGGCUAGUGAAGCCAAAACCUAAUAUGGUUGAUGAUGCAGAUGGGGAAAUCGAGAAUGACGAGAUGGGUGUUGAGCAGCAAGGCGAUUUGGUGAGAACUGAGAGAGAUGAGGCAAAGUUUAGAUUGGGUUUGAGAGGGAAAAGUGAGGUUUCUGGGGGAGUCAUACCAGACCAGGCGACAAUAGACGCGAUAAGGGCAAAAAGAGAGAGGCUCAGGCAGGCAGGUCCCGCAGCCCAGGAUUAUAUAUCAUUGGAUGGAGGAAGUAAUCACGGUGAAGCCGAGGGGUUGAGCGAUGAGGAGCCAGAAUUUCGAGGGAGAAUCGGGUUUUUUGGAGCAAAAAUUGAUGGUGGGAAGAAGGGCGUGUUUGAGGAUUUUGAGGAGAGAGUAACGGCAAAGGAUAGCGCUGUUCUUAAUAGCGAUGAUGAGGAUGAGGAAGAAUUGGAAAAGUUGUGGGAAGAGGAGCAGGCAAGGAAAGGUUUGGGAUUAGGAAAGAGGCUAGAUGAUGGCGUUAGUGUAGGAGUCAGUAGUAGUACUGCUGGUGGUAGUAGUGUUAAUGUGCCUCAGAGUGUCCCUCAGCAGAAAUUUGGUUAUCCAAUCGUGGCCUCUGGUAGUGUAUAUUCUUCAGUGCAGAUUAGUUCUGUUGAUACUGUUGGUCCUAGUAUUGGGGGUGCUGUUGGGGGAUUGCCUGGAUCAGAUGAAAUGCCGAUAUCACAAAAAGCUGAGCUCGCUAAGAAAGUUUUGUAUGACAAUGUGAAGAUGCUUAAGGUAUGCAUUGGCAUUUAUUCCUAGUGUUUGUUUUGAAAUUUGAUUACUUAUUCUUUGUUUUAUAAGUUUAAGUAGGAUUUCUUCUGGAAAUACAGCAUUAUCAGUUUAAGUUGUAAAUUAGCUGUGAGAUUACCAUUGCAAGUAGAAAAACAAGAAUUACUGGAUAAAGCAUUUAAUUAAUAGUUUUCUGCUUCUGUCUUGACCAGUAUUAAUUUGGACAUUUAGAAGGUAUUUGAGUUUAAUACCAAUAUGUUGCUCUGAAGAAAAUGUUCAUUGGUGUUUACAAGUUUUAUUUUCUUCCCUCUGUUUAUGUAGUGAUUGCAACUGAUCUGUUAUUGUCUUUUGACUUAUCUUUUUCUUAGGAGUCUCAUAAGAAAACAAUGGAUACAUUAACAAGGAAUGAUGAAAAUCUAUCCGCUUCACUGUUGAAUGUCACCAAGCUGGAAAAUUCAUUAUCUGCUGCUGGUGAGAAGUUCAUCUUUAUGCAAAAGCUUCGUGAGUUUGUUUCUGUUAUAUGUGACUUUUUGCAGGUACGGAUUAUCUGAUUUAUCAAUCUCCAAUUUAUUUUGGUGCCCUCCAUAGUUGCCAAAUCUUAACGUGAUAGAUCAAUUAUGUUGUUCUCUUUAUUUGUUUUGCUACUGUCACUGAGCAUAAGUGACUGAAAGUAUGGAGAAUCUGUUGUCCUAACACCCCCCAUCUUUAUUUUUCGGUAUAUGUUAAAUCCUGUUGUUAGUUAUUAGGAGCUUUGAGGUUAUAACUACUUAGAUUGCUUCACUUCAGCCAUCUUUAGCUUCUCUUCCAAUUUUUCUGUCACUGUAUAGAUCCAAGUAGGUUUUGGUACUGAAGGAUCUAUAAAUAUUGUUAUUUUGGAGUUCUUAACUCAUAUGUUGGUUUACUGCUUUGAAUCAUGUUGUUUAACGUGCUACUUUUGUAAUUUUGAAGAUAAUUUUAUCAAUUUUGGAACUUUCAGAUUUUCUAGUGUCUUUUACAUGUAUGCUCUGUUAGUUGACGUAUAUUUAGUUCUUUUCUUUAUCAUCUAUCAAUUAAGACGAUGUAGAUGAGGUUGCGUUCUUCUCAUGGCAGUACAUGCUAUUUUUUCUCUUUCUAAAUUCAGGCGGAAUUAUGAACUGAGGUUCAUAAUAUUUAGGGCAGCAAUUGUGGAAGAGUUGGUUAUAUAGGUUGUCUUGUCUCCUUUAGUGUGAUGAUGAGCAUGAAAGUGGCAUAUAGAGAAUUAUUCUUUUUCAAAGAAUGUCUCAGGGACCCAUCUGAUGGUUUUUUUGACUGCUUAAAUUUUGAUGAUUCUGGGUGUCAAUUGUAUAUUCACCUCUUUCCUCAUUUAGUUUCAAUUUUCUUCUGUUGGCUUUGGAUAAUGUUCUCCUGUUUGGUAUCAUUGCCAUUGUGGAUUAUCUGCUGUUGUAGUGCUCCUCGUGCUCCCAAUAUUCAUGCAUACAUAUUCCUCCUCACUUUGAGCAGCAAUACAGACACUACUGCUUGCUUGUGAAUGAAGUCAUUGUGCAAUACAUAGAUAGAAGAAAGUUUUUUGAUCCUCAGUUGUUUUUCUCAAGUUGAAGAAUAUCUUCAUCUGUGCUAUAUUGUUAUUUUGUGAGUGAGCUGUGUGGAUUCAUACUGGAUGUAAAUUUGAGACUUCUCUUUUGGUUUAUGUGCUAUUCACUCUGUUGCAUUUUAUACGUCACUAUUUUGGUUUGUGUCAAAAAAGUUUCAAGAAAGUAUAUAAAGCCUAACUUGACCCUUUAUACAAAUCCUAAGAAAUAAUCGUAGGAGGCAUGUUGCCAUGAUAAAUAACAUUACAAACCAUCUCUUAACUAUGGUAGUUGUGCCUCAUGUAAAACUUCAAAUUCAACUAACAAAAUAUUGUUGUUCAAUUGAUGGGCAAUAAUGGGAACAGUUGCUUUGCUAGCUGAUGUAUUUUUGUCAUACUCUACUUUUCUUAAGUAUGCACAAAGUUGUCAAUGACAUAUAAUGUGGGUUGGAGAAGAAUUCUGUGGAUACUCUAGGGUUUUCUGGUUUAACAUCUUGCCCUUGCCCUGGUUACAUGUAGGAGUUUCCAUUACUUUCCUUGAAGGGCUUUGAGCAUUUUGUUUGGCUGUUUUCAUCUUUUGUUUCUUGUUCUUGGUCUACUCUGCUAGAUAGUGUUUUCUAAAUGUAACAUUAAUGUAAUUUUGAUCUGAUAUUAAUCUUGCUCUUUGCAGCAUAAGGCUCCUUUCAUUGAAGAACUUGAAGAUCAGAUGCAGAAGCUACACGAAGAAAGAGCAGCUGCAAUUCUAGAAAGAAGAAUCGCUGAUAAUAACGAUGAAAUGAAGGAAUUAGAACCAGCUGUGAGUGCAGCAAUGUCUGUUUUUCGUAAAGGUGGAAGCAGUGCAGCAAUGAUAGAAUCAGCUAUAAGUGCUGCUCAGGCUGCAUCUGCAGCUGCAAGAGAAUUAAGAGACUUACCUGUGGAGCUAGAUGAACUUGGCAGAGAUUUGAAUCUGCAGAAACGAAUGGAUUUAGCUAGGAGGGCAGAGGCUCGACAAUACAGGAAAGCUAAGUCAGAUUCAAAGAGAUUGUUGUCCAUGGAAAUUGACAGUCCUAAUCGGCCAAUGGAAGGGGAAUCAAGUACUGAUGAAAGUGACAGUGAGAGUACAGCUUAUCAGUCAAGUCGUAAUCAGUUGCUUCAGAUUUCUGAACAGAUCUUCAGUGAUGCAGCUGACGAUUAUGCUCAACUUUCAGCAGUUGUAGAAAGGUUUGAGAGAUGGAAAAAGGAGUAUGCUUCAAGCUACCGUGAUGCUUAUAUGUCACUAAGUGCGCCUACUAUUUUCACUCCUUAUGUAAGGCUUGAGCUUCUAAAGUGGGAUCCACUUCAUGAGGAUUCAGACUUUAUUCAUAUGAAAUGGUAUGGAGCGUCCAGUUGAAAUUUGGCUGUACAAUUUGAGCAACACUUUGAUUAAAUGCCUUUUUGUUUCAUGAUUCACUCUAAAAUAUUUUGCUGACUCCUGGCAAGGUUAAGGCCUCUGGGACCAGCACAAUUGUGCAGCCUCUUGCUUCUUCUUCUUCUUCUUUCUUUAUUAUUUUAUUCUGGCCUUCUUUGUUUACCCUUUUUUCCGUGAAUCAUGUCAUUUCAUUUAUACAUUAUUUUUAUCACUAAAAUUUUUUUUUUCUUGGGUCAACGAUGAAAAAAUUUUAAACAAACAAAAUCCUGUUACAAAUUAGCCAAACCAUGAUAAUGUAACUUAUAGAUGUGUUCUUAUUUUUCUGUUAGAUGUAGUACUUUCAUAUCGUGGAACUUGAAUGUCCAGUAACUAUUCUUUUUGGUGGAUUUGCUGGUCAACUGAAUCAAAUUACCUCGAGGUUGAAAAUUUUUUCUUGGCUUGACCCGCAUGGUUGCAACUGUAGUAGCUUUCUAGCUUCAAAUAUACAGUGGCUGUUGUCUGUAAUUCUGCUGUCCACUUCUAGAGCAGGGCAAUAAUUUUAGUGGGGGUUGUCUCUUUUAAAUGCUCGUAUCAUUUAAACAAGCAUGGUGGAAAUUUUUUGUGAGCUUGAUGAUUUCUACCAGUUAGCCAUGGUUAGGUAGACCACUGAAUGCAGAGAUAAAAGAGUAUGAGAUUAUUGACUUCACUUUUGUUGUAACGUGCUAAUGAAAGAGAAUGAGAUCUUUUUGUUUUGGCUUUUUUUUUUUUUUUUUUAUGAUGCUGAGUCUAUCAUCUCUCCUACUUUCAGGCACUCCUUGUUAUUUGAUUAUGGUCCAGAAGAUGAUGCUGACGCCAACCUUAUUCCGGAACUAGUAGAGAAACUGGCAAUUCCAAUUUUGCAUCACCAGUUAGUAUACUGCUGGGACAUGCUUAGUACACGUGAAACAGAGUACGCUGUUUCUGCUACAAACUUGGUCUUAGGAUAUGUUCCUCCAUCCAGUUUGGCACUUGGGAACUUAGUAGCUGCACUUCGAGACCGCCUGGCUGAUGCUGUGACCAAUUUGAUGGUAUUUCUUAUCUCCUUUUUGGAUUAUCAUUUGCAGAGUAUAUCAACUAGUACUUGUCUUUCCUUAAAUAUUAUAUUCUUACUAAAAGGAUAUAAGUUUAUAGGUGCCAACGUGGAACACACUUGUAUUAAAAGCUGUACCAAACGCGGCAAGAGCUGCAGCGUACAGAUUUGGUGUGUCUGUUCGUUUGAUGAAGAACAUAUGUCGAUGGCAUAAGGUUCUUGCAAGGCCAGUAUUGGAAAAGCUUGCUCUGGAUGAACUGUUAAUUGGCAAGAUUCUUCCUCAUCUUCGAAGCAUUGAAUCAAACAUUCACGAUGCAGUUACAAGAACAGAGAGAGUUGUUGCCUCCUUAGAUGGGGUCUGGGCUGGUCCAAGUGUUACUGGGGAUCGCAGGUACUUGUUUCUUCAAGUGAAAAGUGUCAUUCUCUUGGUUUAAAAUGGAAGUAUGUCUAAGAUGCUACUGAAGAAUUGUGAAAGAAGCUUUUAAGUUAAAUUUUCAAGUUUUACCAAAUCUUAGGAUCACAGAAAAAUAAUUCUUAAAGUUGAGUUUGCUUUUGAGAUAGCAUCUUUGCUUGAUCUCACUUGCUAUUUGGUCAGGCACGAUUGCAAAAAUAUGAUUUACAUAUUUAUCCUUGCCACUACAAACAAUACAGACCUACAUGCUCCUCCUGUAUCAAGCCUGAAAUUAAGGUGGAUUUAGAAAAUACAAUAGAUAAAGGGAAAAGUGGGGAAACAUAGUUGCCAGUUUGCUUGGGUUUUGUAGUGGCUUAGUAUGUGGGCAAUUGCCUCUCUCUAUAUACAGCAUUCACUAAGUGUAUAAAUUGUAGCAAAACUUUCUGUUUGUGCUGAAGUGACAUAUUUCAGAGGGACAGAUGGUCUUACGUGGCAUGGGUAUUUAGUGUGUGGAGGAGGUAGAGAGGAAAAGUAGGGAAGUUUGGUAAGAGAUGAAAGCCUUGUGAAAUGCUAAGCCAGGAAAAGCCCUGUGUUCAAGCAUAUAAAAGAAAGUUAACUUUAUGGGCUAAUAUCUGUAUCUGGAUGGUUUCAUCUCAUGAGGACCCUUCUGAGUCAAUCCUUUUAAUGAAAAUGAUUAGAGUUGGACAUGAUUCCAACUUGACAUUCAAAACUCUCUGAAUGCUCACCCUAAAUUGUCCAGUGCAACCUUGAGGUUCAAGGUCAUUCAUUCAUUAAAAUGUUUUUUUUUUUUUUGGGAUACUAUGUUGCCAGUUAUUUAGUUCUCUAUUUAUUGCAUGUGGUACGCGCAUCUUUUUCUCCAUGGCUUUCAAUAGCAUGUGGCUUUCAAUGGCAUGUUGCAUGUAAAUUAGUGAUGAAUUUUUGAAGGCCUUGCGUUGUCACCUGACUAAUUUCCUUUGCCCCAUGAUACAAGUCAGCAAUGGACUGUUACCCUACUUCUCAUAUGAGUAAACUCACUGUAUCCUCACUAUGCUUGUAGCCCAAAACUGCUGCCACUGGUGGAAUUUUUGCUAUCACUUGGAAGGACGCUGGAGAAGAGGCAUGUUUCUGGUGGGAUUCAGACAGAAACUGCUAAACUUGCUCGCCGAUUGAAGAAGAUGCUUGUGGAGCUAAAUGAGUACGACCAAGCUAGGGCAAUAUUAAGAACCUUUAGUCUCAAGGAGGCGUUGUGACUCCCUUAUCUCCGAUGUCUAAUUGUCCCUCUUGCUCCUCCUCUGUCUAAUGGUUCCCCCUUGCUUGUACAUUUAAUGGUUUCAAGGACUUGGGGAGCUAACAUCAGCUCUUGCUUAGGAAAGUUCAUAAAGCACAAUUUUGAAAAGAAUGAGAUUCCUUGAUACACCGAGUUAGCAUAGUCUUUGAAUUAGAUGCCCUUGGCCCCCCCUCUGGUGGCCCAGGUAAUGCAUUUUGUGUUACGUUAGCUUAUGUUUUGCUUCGAGCUGAGGCUCUGGUGCCCCCUCUCUUCUCCAUCAGUAUGAAAACCCUAUGAAUUAUUGGUUUCGUGUUAUAGUCACGGAGAAACCAAAAGAUGAGCUCUUAUCAAGAACCCCAAUUCCGGCCCCUUUCGAUUCGUCGUCUUUCUAUCAAGAUCCAUAUGAAGUAUCGAUUUCACGUUUUGUCUGGACAUGGAAGGCCUUUUCUUUUCUCGUGUAUUCUAAUGAGAAUGCAGCCCUUGUAACUUUGUUUUUAAGGUUCGGCAACUGGAACUUUUUGGUGGCUCUUGCGGAUUGUUUGGUUAAUUAGCAGAUUUAUGUUUGUUUUUUUUUUGGGUUUUUGGGGGUUGGGGGUCAUAAUAAACUUCCGUUUUGAGCUGUCUUUUAGAAAAGAUUAGGCCUGACGGUCCCAGCUCUAACUUCUAGUUGAAUGUCAAACUUUGUGUUUCCAUUUAGUAUUGGGAUCCCAGAAAGGCUUUGAUUUCAGAGGAGGCCAAACAUGCUGCCGAAAGCCCCACUUUGAAUAUCAUGUGGAAGUUGGAAUUCAACUACUACUACAACUAAAAUGGAUCACCUUUUGGGACAAAUGAGAUUAGUUUAGCUUUCACAUUAGGAUACUUCUGCAGUCGUAGAAAAUUCAUGUUCAAUUAUCUUUGGUCCACCAAACCUGUAGCAAAUCGCUUGCUAAUCUAUUAAUAAAAGAACCAGUCAACUGCUUUGUAUAUGAGUAGGUUUAACCACGACUGCAGGAACCAAUACCUAAAUGACCUACUAUGUUGGUUGAGAUGCAAAUACGAAGUAUAGACUCAUGCAUGCAGGACAUGGAGCUUCUUUUUUCGGAGAACCUACUUUAAUUUGGGUAUUAAUGCAGUAUAUUCGAGUGAAACUGAAUUCAAUUGAUUAGUCAUUGCAUUUACCAUAAUGUUUUGGAAUAUGGGUCGCAAAAUCAUUUGAGAUUUGUGCUAACCAUUUCAGGAAAAAGAAAAACAAAAUGAUACCCUGGUUAACUUGAAGCUGAAAAGUUGAGAUGCCAUCUAAGUUUGGGGAAUUGGGAGUUGAAGUUCAAAAACUCUAUCGACUUUUUUAUGCAAACAAAUUAUUAUUAGUAGUAUAACUUCGUGGUUUCUUAUUUAGUGCAUCCAAAACAGAAGUAAAAAUUUUGCUGGAAAACGAACCUAUAGGCUGUAACUGAAGUCGUUUGGUAAAUUUUUCAUAUUAUGCACAAAAGUAGAGGCAAUUCUUGAGUCCUACGUAAUUUUACGAGGGAACUGCUGAGUGUUGACUACAACAGGUGCUGUCUUAUUUUGUGGGCUUUCGAAUUUCGAUGCGGGUUAUACUCUGUAAUAUUUGGAGUUAAAUGCGGACCAGAGCUGGCGAAAAUUAAAACUCACGCCUACCAAUGCAUUACGAAUUUUGGCCAUGACAAUUUAUGGACGCUCAGCGUUUAAGUCAAACGCGAAUGUGUGUAACUGAUGAAAGAAAUUUGUGUCAAAUUUUUUGAAAAUAUCGAAAAUUAUUUUCAAGAGAAAUUAUAAUAGUAAACAUACAGAAAAUUCACUAAAAUAAAAUGUAAAAAUAAAUAAUUAUUUGGUAGUAAUUCAUAAUCACAAUUGAUAAUUGCUAAUAAAAGUUAAGGUAUAUUAAAUAAGUUGAAAAAUAAAAUAAUAAGAAAUACAUAUUAAUUGGAGGAAAGAUAUAUUGAAACUUGGGAGUGGAUAGUUUUCAAGGGUAAUUUAGAAAGAACAUAAAAUGACACAAAGAAGUUUAUACUAACCCCCUCCUUUCUCUUUGUACAUAAAAUAGAUGAUGGGAAGGUUUGUAAAAGUAAUAUAUAAAAAGAAAGUGAAUAUUGUGCCUCACUCAUCAAAUUGACUGCCUCUUUUCCUCGAAGAACAUAGGGGAAACACAUGGAAUUUACACCUACAAAUAAAGAUAUGAUGAAAUUACCAAAAAAAAAAAGUGAGUUUGAAGUAAAUAAAGUUGUAAACUACAGGAAGUGACAUGUUAAACUCUUUCGAGUGGUAACACAAUAAUAUGUUGAUAGUAGAAUGGUCCCUCCAAAAAGGGAAAAAGGUCGAAUGGUUGGUUGAUAUAUUUCCCACUAGGUGGGUGCUAAAUAAUUGUUAACAUGUACUAAAGGUAGCUGAUUAGAAGGGGAAGGGCAUCAAAGGGCGUUCCCUAGUUAGACCAUGUAAACUUGGAUUGAGAUUGAGAACCGAAAUGUUUCGUUGUUUCGAGUUACAUGUAAUUGAUAUAGCACUGAGGGAAGUAGCGCAACAGAUCUUCUGUUUCACUCUAUGUUCUCAAGAUUCAAUCACUAUUAAUCGAGUAAAAAAGAAUUAAAAAUAUGAUGUUUAUGAAGGAAAAAUAUCAAUAUAAUAAAAAGUGAGAUAGAAAGUGACAUAAGUGAGACAAAAGAUCUAUUGUAGUUAAAGGGUGUAAGUGAGAAGUAUUGAAUUCGAUCAUUUCUAUUUACGCCUAAAAAUUUUUUAAAAAAUUUAAAAAGUUUAAAAAAUUGACAUAGUAUUAGUUUUAGCUUUCGAAUUGCGACAAGUACAUAACUUCAAUUAACCAUUGUCCAAAACAACUAAGCUGGUGUUGUUCGGUAAAACAAAUCGAAGUGUAACUACUCACGUAGUUGCAUUAUUACACCAUUGCUAGUUACAAAAUAUAAAUAGUGUUUUGAUAAGAAAUUAGUUGAAAUAAUUAUUGUAAUAUUUUUUAUGAUAUGAUGUAUGUGAGAUAAAAAGAUAAUUAAAAAAAUAAAAAAAAACAUGUUAAAAAUUGUGUUUCUGAUGCAAAUAAACAACUUUUUGCGAGAUCUAAUCUACUUGCAUGGACAAGCAAAUAAAAUGUAAUUGUACAAACAAUUUCUCGUGUUAUGAUAAAAACAUAAUAAUAAUUGAAGACAUUUGUUGGAUUCUCCUAUCUUCACCGGUAUGCAAAUGUGGGCCACAACACUAGAAUCUAGAAUUCCAUCCAAAUCCAACAAAAAUGUUGGCCUAACUCUUUCCACAAGUCUCCACUCUCCAUGUCAAGGACAGUCUACCCUCUCACGAGAAUAUUUAUUCAGAUAAAGGACAUGCCAAUUACAACUUAAAUAGAAGGCCUGUCAAAACUAAAUGAAUGUUAGCCCUCACCAACAAAAUCAAUUUGACUUUUAUCCCCAAAACUGAGAAAACAUAGCCCAACACGAGAAUUUUUUAAGCACAUACAUGUGGGAUUUUUUGAAGCACUUGCUAUUACGCUUAAAUUAUUAUAUGAAUGCUCCUUUUCUCUCAAAUUGCAAAACAACGUUUCUAUAAUUUGUUCAAGUUCAAAAAUCAUAACCUGUGAAAUGGGAUUGCUAUUUUUAGGAGUUUUUUUAAUAAAAAAAUGUAAUGUAAAAAUUUGAUGUAUAUGAGGUAAAAAAAAUAAUAAAAAAUAUAUUCACAGAAAACAUAAUUUUUUUUUUACUAAAAAUCACAAUCCAAACAAGGCCAACAGAAUGGUUAAAUUCUGUUUAUUUCUACUACAUAGUUGAUCCAUGAUUGUAUUAGUAUCUACCUAUUAUAUAAGAAAAAAGCCAAGUUACUAUAGCACCCCAUCUUUUUGACACAUGUAUUGCAUAUAUUUUUGACAAGUGGAUUCUUGGUCAUUUUAGCUAAACUUUUCCUUCCCCUUUUUGAUUCAAUUGGGCCAAAAUAAUUAAAAUGUUUUUUCUCUGAGCCAAGUUACUAUAGCACCCCAUCUUUUUUACACAUGUAUUGCACAUAUUUUUGACAAGUGGAUUCUUGGUCAUUUUAGCUAAAUUUUUCCUUCCCUUUUUUGAUUCAAUUGGGCCAAAAUAAUUAAAAUAUUUUUUCUCCUUCAGAAAAUCAACUAUGUCGCUUCUUCUUCUUCUUGCGGUAAGUGCUAUUAUUUUUUAUUUUUUAAAACUAAUCUAACUAAAAUUGUUGCCAUGUUCUUUUUUUUUCGUCGAGAUGAUUAGCUACUUAACAAAGAGAAGUUUUUAUUAUUUUUUUAUCCCAUUUUACAUUUUCUUUUCUUCCUUUUUUUUCUUCAUGUCUAAUCUCUCAUAUUUGCUCUAUUCUUCGAUCAUAAUGUUAUAGUCAACUGGCAUUUGUUUGUUAAAUUUAUAGGAUGAUGCUAUUAUUUGGUAAUUUUCAUGGAUAAAAGGUGAAAUAUUAAAAUAUGUAAAAAGAUCUUAAAAUUCAUUUUAUACCAAUGAUCAUUUUCUAUGAAGAAUAGAACAAUAAUUCUUUCUUUUCUUAUCUCCUCCCACGAUUUGAUUUCUUACUUCACAUUUUUUUUUCUUUUUCUUUGUUUUUUGGUUACAUUUUGUAAUUAUCUACAAUUUUGUGUAUUUUUUAAAGAGAAAAGAUAUAUCAUGUGAUGCUUCCACCAAGAUAAAUCUAGUUAGGCAUUCUUCUACUUCUGUAUUCUAUAAGAUUUUGUAUAUAUUUAAACUAACGUUAAUUUUUAUUUUUUUUAAUUAUUCAGGUUAUGUAGUAUCAAUUGGGUUGGCAUAUAAAAAUUGUAGUUGGUGGUAGAAGUCAAAAUUAAAAAUUAUUAGAAAAUUCAAUUUUGAUUAGGAAGAUGUUUUUGCAAUAAAAAAAAUGGUUCAAUUCUAAUUUGUAUAUGUAGAUCUGGAAACGUAGCAAUUCAUAUUUUUUAUCUAACCUUGCUAUUUAUAUUCUGGAGCUGCAGGAUAAUGUUGUCACCUUUAAACGGGAUUUAAAUAAAUAAAGAAAGAAAAAUGUGAAACUUUAAAGUAAGUUAUAUUGAUGUUGAAGAUUGUGACAUGUCUUAGUGGCUUUCUAAACUUUUUCUCAUUAUUAAAAAACUGGAAGCAUUAUGAUUGCUUUUGAUUUAGUUACAACUAAGACUAUGCUGCUAAUUAAUACAGCAAUGCACUUGUAGUGUAUUGAUUUUCUCUUUUUUUUGGGUAUUAUCAUAAUAAUAGUUCAAAAAUCUUUAUUCAAAUCACAAUAAAUAGGGGUAUUAACUUCAUAGAUGGAAUUUCUCUUCACAACAAAUUUUGAGGGAAAUUUUAUUUAUACUCCAUAUUUUAUUAAUUGUAUUCCUACAAUAAAUAAAAACUAUAUGAUAAAAAUAAUAGUGAAAAUAUGAUUAACAAAAAUGAGAGUUCAAAUAACAUUUGUUAAUUUUAAUUGUUUUGAGGUCCAAUUUUCUCCUAUAUUUCUAUUGAUUUAUCAUGUGCCAAAAUAAUUUGAUGUUAUGUGCUUGAUUAUAUUUCUAGGGGCCAAGCUAUGCUUUGCAAGUACCUCUAGUGUACUAACUAAAAAGGUGGCCAAUUACACGACAGCUGCAGUGGGUUUGCUUCUCACAUUAUCACACGACAGCUGCAGGCUGCAGAAUGUGCAUACUCUUGCAUGGAUUAUAUGUGACAGCCCCACCUCACCCUAAGGCGAAACAAAGGGUUCAGCGGACCGCCUGCCCAGCUCUCGCCAGGAUUACGGAGUCGAAUCACACAAAUCCGAUAUUACGCGAGAGGACCCAAAAUAAAUGAGCGAUUGAAGACCGCCAAGCUUAAACAUGGGGAAAACGCUUUCAUAUAUACAUGUCACUAGGUUUACAAUUCAAAUGGAACCAGUGAAACGAAAUACAUUUAGGGUUUGCUCAUUCUCGAGGAGCUAUACAAAAGAACAAAAGAUUUUCUAACUAGCUCAACUCGCUUCUCAAAAUCAUGAUUUCCAAAAGAGGUUCCAGUAAGGAAAACAAAGAUAACGAGGAGGGGGUGAGCUUACGCCCAAUGAGGUACCAAACAUAUAGCAGAAAAAUCAGGUAUUUCACGUUAUACAAACCAGAUACACAUGCUCGCUAUAAAGUAAGACAGGUAAACACAAGAACUCAAAUAGGAAGGAUACAGGUGGCUCUCAGGAGCCAGCUUUCCAGCGUAGUACUUGAUCCAAGCCGGUCGACUCUCCAUCAACGUAUAUAGAACCAACACGUCCGUAGACCCCACUUUACACCAAAUUCCGUCCACCAAACACCCCUUUACCGGGCCCGCUCACCUCAACAGAAACAGAAAGGGUAAUACUCGAGUAUACCGGAAUCAAGAGUCUCAAUACCCAAAGAUCCCAAAACAGACUACCGUGGUUCGUUAUCUAAUCGUCCAGGCCCUUGCCGGCCCGACUCGAAUAACUUAGCCACAGGAUUUGAGCUCAUAAGUCACAGAAAGGUCGUUGGUUACAAGUUUCCAAACGACGUCCGAACAGAUACAGAUACAGAUACAGAUACAGAUAUCAGAUACACAGAUUCAGAUUGACACCAAAAUUGGCAUAUGAACAGACAAGAGAACGAGUGUGAUAAAGUACACCCUCGUCUCAAACAAAUUAAACAGAUUGCAGAGCAGAAAUCAAGUUAAACAGCAAUGGAGGGGAGUGGUACACUCACCGGUUCAAGUACAAAUACCUCAAAAGUUUUCACUUCGGAUUGGCUUUAAUCGCCAAGAAACCCUAAAAUAAUCAAAAUAAACCAAUUGAAGGUUUCACAUCCAGAAUCGAGUAAACAAAAUACACAUGUGAGGCUCGACUACUAGUCGUAUGCCUCGCCAAAUAAUUACUAAUGCAAGGGUACAAAACAUGAUUUUUGGGAAUAAAAAGGUAACAUGAAGACCUAGGUUCAACAACCCAAAAGUCCUUCAUUUCUAUCACAAGCCAAUUCAAACUUAAAGGAACCAAUUGGCCUAGAAAAAAUUGGACAGCACUUCCCCUAAAUUUCUUACUUUUCCAGCCAUCACGGCUUCAUUAUUUUCCUCAAUCAACUCCCAAAGUCAUACUCAAUAUACACUCAUCACCACAGCCGUUCAAUAGGCUCAAGGUUAUCCAAGUACAAAAGUUAGUUAGGAAAAUGACCGGAAAUAAAAGUCAAGCCCUAGAAUAUUCCACUAAGCACAAGAAGACUCGAUUACAAGUCAUAAACCGAUGCCAACACGAUCACAAUAGGGUUCCAUAAGCAUAUAUAAGCAUUAGAGGAAACCAGAAAUUUCGGAAAUGUAACUAGCUUUGGCCCUGAAAAAUAGUUUUUGUCCUCAUUUUGCGGUAAUGGCACAAAUUUCACUACGCUUAUCGGAUGAGGGUGCAAGACCACCACCAUCUCGAAGCUAAAAGACAGGGCUACAACAUCACAGAAGGUCACUCAACCCAGUUUUGAGUGCAAACAGGUCAAAAAUGCAAGAUACUACAUCAACAACGUAAAACAGAUUCACCAAAACGCAUUCUAGUGGAAACAUCAUAACUCAGGCUCUACAAGUCCAAAUCCAGAAAUUCCAAAACCAUCUGAAAGCUAAGCAACAGGGAUAAAUUUCAUCAGAAGGUCUCAACAACCAAUUCGGAAGCAAUUCCAGGAAAAACAACCAAUUACAGGCGCAGUUCUCAAUUUCGGGUAAAACCAGAACAGCAAUAGUAAUUUCGACUUAUCUCAUUCUACUCUACUCCGAUUGACCUGAAAUUUUGUAGGAACCUCUAAAAUGUCAUUCCCUACAACUUUCAUGUUUUGAGCUAAGGCCAAUUCGGCCUCUAUCUAGGACCUAAAAAUUCGGACAGAAUGCUCCCACAAGAACCCUAAUUUUCUGAAAUUUCUUCCAAAACAGAAAUUGAUUGCAAUUGUCCACUUUUUUCACCUUCUAGAAUCAUUAUAUACCAUUUCCAAUCAUCAUAGAUAGCCACACAAUCAUGCUUAUAUUAAAACAGAAAAAUCCCCAAAAAUAAUAAAACUUCAUCAUUUCAACCACAAAUCAAAAAUUAAUCCAUAAACUUGCAUCUUAUACUACCACUAAGCAUGAUUUAAGCAUCAAUUAAAGGAGGAGGGUGGUUCUUCACAACUUACCUUAGAAACAAGAGAGAGAGAGCUAUUGGUCACCUUAACUUUCCAAAAAACUUCACACAACAACUCACCAACACUUCCUUAAGUGGUUUUAUGGAGCAAAAUCAAGGUUGGAUGGUUGGUUUUGGUGAUUUGGAACAAGAUUGAAGUGUUUUCUUCCUUGUGCUUGGAGUAAGAGAGAGAGAGAAAGAGAGCAAGAGAGGGCCGACUUCAAGGAGGAUUUUUUUGAGGAUUUUUGGGUCAAUUUUGGUUAUUUAAGUCAAUGGUAAGAAAGGUUUUAAGGUAAGCCCAAUCAAAUGGUGACACUUGUCACCUUUUAUUAACUCUCUACCUAACUUGUCUCUCUCAUAUCAAUCCAAAUUGCACCCUCCACUUAUCUCUUAACACCCGGUAAAUUCAUUCAAGUAUUCAAAACUUAAUCUAGUUGGCCGAAUUUUUCCGAACUUUUCGCACUAGUGGGUCCCACGUCCGAUAUACGCUUUUAAUUCCUCAAAAGCUAACCGAUACUAGAAAAAUCAUUUAAAAGCUAUAUUUACUCAUAAAAUUUAUUUGCACAAUGUUUCGAAUAAAGAAAAGGUGGAAAAACGUAUAAUUAAAAGAAAUUAAAACCUAGAAAUUAAGAAAAUUACGGGUCCUUACACUAUAUGCUUUGCAUGGACGGAAUAUAUAUAUAGUCUUAUUCUAUGACGGAAAAUCUAUGAAUUUCUGACCUGUACGAUAAGCAAAUGUGCGACACAGCACUAGAAUUUCAGCCAACAAAUGUCAUUCAGAUGAAGGACAUUCCACCAUACGAGUUUCAACCGCAUGUUUAUACCAUCAAAAUUCGAUCCACAACUUUACUGAUGCAGUGCAUGAUCGAGUGUACGAGUAUCCUUAUCUUAUGUAGCUGUAUGGCCUGCUUCACCAUGGUUUCAAUACAAAUUUCUAGUAAAUUACACGCCAAUACGAUCAUAAUUGGAUGGUAGUGUAAUAUCUACUAUAUGGUUAUCAUUUGAUGAUAGUCGGUUCAGAUUUCUAUCAUAUUCUUUUGGACUAUUAAUCUAUGAUUAAAUUUUAUAUACAUUAAACUGACAAUAUUUACACUAUCAUAAUUAGAUGUAUGAUACAUAUAUGCAAAAUUUGAAUUAUAUGUCAUGCAUCAUGUGGUGAAAUUGUAUACACUGUCAGUCUAUAGAAGAUUAAUCCUUAAUUUAUUACGAACAUUUUUCUUAAAAUUUUUGGUUGGUAAAAGUCAUUACUUACACAAAAUUUGACCAAGGGAUCUCGAGACUUCUUAGUUGCAGUUACAACCACAAAGUACAAGAGCUUGUUUAAAUUGUUAUUUUUUGAAAUUUUUAUAGAAAAAUAUAAUAUUAUAACAAUUUGAUGUAUGUAAAGUAAAAUGACAAGUAUUUAAAAAAUAUGUUUAUGAAAAGUGUAAAACUGAAAAAUGCUAAUUCAAACGAGGCUAUUGAGCUAAAAUGAUGAUAAAGACGGUAAGCUUGUCUACCAUCACAAUUUUAGCACAUAGAGGUUAGAAGAGUUGGUGCAUAUAGUCCUUGCAACCCUAAUUAGGUGGGUAAAUCAAGACCUAGGCUGCGGUUUUGGUUAGGUCAAAAUUAACACAACCAUUGACCUCCUGAAAUUAAUUGCUUUUUGAGGAUUUGAUGAACUAAUAUUAAGUUUGCAACGAAACCUGUUUCAGUCAUUCGUUGAUCCCAGCUGCCCCACCAGACCUCCACUUUCCCAUCCACACUUCCCCUACCAAUAGGAUUACACCUUUCCUUUCACGAGCUCAUUCUGCUGCUCUCAGCAUUCAUUCUUUCAUCCCGUGAAUCGCGACGCAUAAAGAAAUAUCAUGACCGUCAGUUUCGGUGACUGAAGAAAGGAAAGGAAAGAGAAGUUUAAUCCGAACGGUGGAUGGGCGGCGGCUACAAAGUUUUACCCGUGAAACCACCACCACGAGAUCUCCGCCCCCUCUCAUAAAGAAUCACAGGAGCAGAGACGCGGCUUUCCAGCCUGGACUCCUUUCAAUUUAUUCCAUCGCUGUCACCUAUCUCGAUCAAUCCAUGGUCCCACCUUGGCUUUCAAAAUUGCAUACAACCCGGUAUACGUCUAGGCCCUGUAAAUACCUAAGCUACCCUUUCACGAAUUUUUAAAAUUUUUUUCUUUUCUUUUAAUUAUUUAAACUUUUUUUUUUUAUGCUUCAAAAGGAUUGUGGGUUAGUAGGAAGUAAAUCAUCCAAAAACUCUCACCGUACUAAGAAAGCAAAAUAUUAUCCGAAAAUGUUCAAAAUUUAGGUGUUGUUUAAAGAUUGGUUCUUGAUAAUUGCAAUUAUCUUCCAUUCUUAUCCAUUAACCAAAAUGUUAAUGGAACUUUCGUACUACAAUGUCUUAACAAAAAUAUUUCUUAUCUAAAUUUGUAACUGACUACUUGGUCACGCUAGCUACAUCAAUAAAGAUUUUCACCAAAUUCUCACAAUCAAAUGCUCGUAUGAAUGCCAAAGGUCUUUAUUAUUUUGUUAGAUAGGACGAGCUACUCAUAUAUUGACCAUGUAAAUGUAUUGAUCAUGUAACUGAAUGUUAUUCCUUAUAUAACAUUUGUUAUGAGGCAAGGUUUUAGGCCCCUCUUCUAUUUAAUAAAUUAAUUAAUGGUUACCAUCCUUAUUUCAUGUAUGACAUUUUAUCAAAUAAAAAAAAACUUAUAUUUUAUUUCUCAACUUUUGUUCCUUUGGCUUCUAUAUCAGAUUAAAUAUUGGAUGUAACGCAAUUCUCUUGGAUACUUUUCGCCUAUUACUACUUCGGCUUCUACCUUUUGUUGAGCUUUUCACUAUUGGUUUCUAAUUAUCUUGUAUAAUACUUGUUCCACUUCUGCCAACAAAACUAAAAAAAGAAUGUCAACUAUUUGCAUAAAAAAUCAUAUCAAGUUUGUUUACUCUAUCCGCACUUUGUUUUGUACCGUAUUUGAAGCCAAAUGUGAUUGAAUUUUUAUUUUACUCCUGAUUUUUCUAUCAAAGAUAUGUUUAUAAUUCAUUUAACAAGCUCACAUGAGGUGGCAAAAUGACUUAAAAUGUUUAUUAAAUAAAUACAUAUACUAGCAUAAGAUUGAGGCAAAUGAUUUAUUCGAGAACCCUUUUAAAAAAAAAAAAAUUUUUUUUUCACAGCAAAUCUCUAGCAAAAUAACAAUUGUAUCCUUCAAUAUUCAAAAGUUGAAUGCACUUUGAAAAGAGUAAAAUUGUCAUUUCAAAGAAAUUAGCAAUGGCAUUAAAAACAUGGACUACGAUAUUAAAGCUAUCCUAAUUGACUGUCAUUAUAUGCUACAAUCAUUUUGUUGAUUGAUCUGCUAGUACAAGUAUUAGAGUAUCUAUAGUAGGAGAAUAAAUUCAUUCUCCACCUCAUUUACAAAUUCAAAAAAAAAAAAAAUCUAACCCGGGCUAAGAAGGUCAUUUCAUAUUGAUAUGUUUACUUUUCCAUUUAUUUUUUAUCCCCACACUUUCGUACUCGGACAGUUGGACUUCCAUACUCAUCCUCUUAUGACUUUAAUCUCUGAUCUCCCAUGACCACUCUCCCAAAACAGCCAAACUCCUCCAAUACCUCCUCUUCCCACCACCGCCAUCGCUCCCACAAUGCCACCUGACACCAGAACCACCGCACUCCUCCUCCUCACCAUCCUCCUCCUCCUCCUCAGCUCCCACACUCCCUCCACCGCAGACCUCCCGCAAUUUCGGGAAGCCCCAGCAUUCCGCAACGGCCAGCACUGCCCAAUCUCCACAUGGCCCUCCAACCCACACGACCCUUCCACCAUCCACGUCGCCAUGACACUUGACUACUCCACGCCAUACCUCCGUGGCUCCAUCGCCGCGGUCUUCUCAGUCCUCCAGCACUCCACCUGCCCAGAAAACACCUUCUUCCACUUCCUCACCACCACCCGCCACCGCCAUUUCCAAGGCCUCAACUCCACCAUCACCUCCACUUUCCCCUACCUCCGUUACCAUCUCUACCACUUCUCCCCCGCCUUAGUCAACCACCUCAUCUCCUCCUCCAUCCGCACCGCCCUCGACCAACCCUUGAAUUACGCCCGCAUUUACCUCGCCGACCUCCUUCCCUCCACCGUCAACCGCAUUAUAUACCUCGACUCUGACCUCAUCAUCAUCGAUGACAUCUCCAAGCUCUGGAAAAUCAAUCUCUCCGCGCAUAUUCUCGGCGCCCCCGAAUAUUGCCACGCAAAUUUCACCAACUAUUUCACUCCCAAAUUUUGGUCCAACAGAUAUGUCUCCAGCACUUUUAAUAACCGUGCCACAUGUUAUUUCAACACAGGGGUUAUGGUGAUGGAUUUAACGAAAUGGAGAACAAAUGGGUGCACGAGAAAACUGGAGCAUUGGAUGAGGAUUCAAAAGAAGUAUAGAAUUUAUGAGCUGGGCUCAUUGCCGCCGUUUUUGUUGGUUUUCGCCGGGAAUGUCGAGGGGGUUGAGCACAGAUGGAAUCAACAUGGACUCGGGGGGGAUAAUCUCGAAGGUUUGUGUAGAGAUUUGCAUCCGGGUCCCGUUAGUUUGCUGCAUUGGAGCGGAAAAGGGAAGCCGUGGUUGAGAUUGGACUCGAAGAAACCUUGUCCGUUGGAUAGCCUUUGGGCUCCGUACGAUUUGUUUAAACAUCGGCCAUUGAUCUCCGAUAGUUGAUGAUGCUGGUCGUAGGAGAUUGUUGCCCCGUGACCGUGAGUGAGUAAUUGGGAUGGAAACAGGUGAGGAGAGAAUGAAAAAGGAGAAAUGAGGACAGAACAGAUAGAUUUAUGGUGACGUGAGAGGAAGAAUACUUUUGGGGUUUUGGUGGAAUGUUGUGGCGGAGCUCUGGUGUGGUACUGUCGGUGGGUUUUUCUUGGCCGUCCGAUGUGAGAGAUCAGGACGGUAAGAUUUGGUGGUGGUGGUUUGGGAAUGAGGAUAUGAUGGGUGCAUUGUGAUGCUGGGUCCUAUUUUUUGGGAGUGGUUGGAUUCCAUGUUGCUAUCAGAGUUUGUUUUGUUUUCUUGGUGGCAGUGGAGGUGGAGGUGCUAAUUGAGUUUUUUUUUUUGUUUUUUUUUUUGUGUGUGUACAUGUUGUGCUACUUUUUAACCUACUACUACAACUACUACUUGUGGUUGGUUCUUUGAUUGUUUCUGAUGAUCAUAAUCAGAAUUGAGAGAAUUAUUCAUUAUUGAUUGAUGUUUGUGAUGGCGCAUUUCCCCUUUGCUUUCAUCCACUAGAGUGUCUGUUUGAUCUUAUCCUAGCAAGUAAAUAUGAUGAAAUUUGUUUUCUUGUGAAAGCAAUCAACGGAUAUGGGAAGGGACUACUGAUCAAUUGGCCAUUGGAUACCCCUUUGAAUAGCCUAAAAAUGAGCAAAUUCUAGUGGAGUUCAAUAGCAUCAGAAGACAUGUUAAAGGGACUGAAUCGAAACUCGAUAAAGCACUUAAUAAUGCUAUUGAUGAUCAUGAAAGUCUGGCAGCGCUCAGGUCAGGCAAGCUUUUAAUACGAUAUAUAUUUGUCGGCUACUGGCCGUGCAUAUUUCCAUGGUUUAUGAAGACCCAUCCAUUUUCGUGCCUGAUGCCUGCUGACUAGCAUCCGGAUUCCAGGGAAAAGGUGGAUUAACGAUUAAGAAGAGCUCGUCCGGAGUCAUGUUGAGUAACUUUCAACUUCAACUUUUUGAUUUUUUUUUUUAAAAAAAAAAAAACUCACAGGUUACAAUAGAGGAGGGGAAUCCCAUUUUACUCUUAUAAUGCGGACUAGAGCGAAAAAACUUCCAUCACAUAGUGGAAAAAAUUUCACUAUUGUAACGGAAGUAUUGGGCUCGCUCAAAGCAGCUUUUAUUGGGUCAUUCACCCCGAUCUUGAAAUAAUAGUUGUGCAAUUAGGUCCCCUUGCCCAACAUAAAACGCUGUUCAAGUUUGAUUUGAAUAGUUGGCAAAUCAAGUUCAAAUCAGUUGUUACCAAAUCGAGCUCGAUUCGAACGUCGAAUAGCUUAGUUCAUCUUUCGAUCCUAAUCAUGAAUAUCUUUUAUUAGUUUAAGAGCUCCGGAAAAAGGAAUAGGGGAGGACUUGAGAGUCAAAUUAGGCUUCUUUUUAUGUUGCUGGACCUUGGAACAUUUAAUCAUAGAUAUCAUUGAGUGUGAGUAUGUGAUGGACGCGGGAAAGAGAAGCAAUAGACAUAAAAUUAGGCAAAGCCUUGUGAUGUUCCUCGGUCACAACUUUGGAUAUGGACUGGACUUCAUGAGAAAAUGUGUCGGAUAAAAAAAUAACAUUCUUUUUUUUUUUUUUUUGGUCAAAAAGCAACCUAACAUUAUUCCCCAUUCUCCUAUGCUUCCUUUUGCAUUGUGUGGACUCUUGGGCCAAAAACUUAUCAAGCCAUUCUGUUUUCAGAUUGUUUCAGAGUCCAGGAGUGGAGCAGAAACCCAUACUGGGGAUAUUAACUGCGGCCAUCUGGCCCACUGAAUUGACCUACGUAUCAAUUGUGGCCUGUAUUGUUCACCACAUCCAUUGAUCGACCUACGUGUCAAUUGUGGCCUGUAUUUUUUGUAUUUCCCUCCACAAAAAAUACCUGAAAUAACUGUCCCUUUUGAGAAAAUAAAUACAAAAAACAAAAUAAAAAAAAAAAUCUAAGAAACGGACGACGCCAUGAAAGAAAGCAACAGAGCGCAGUCCUAGGCUAGCCUAAAAUUGCUGAAACAAAUCUUCAAACAUAACUCUGAUGAUUUCUUUUGUUUCCCAAGCAUAAUUUUAGGUACUAAAAUUCCUCAUAGAUCCUCGAAACAAUCAUGGCUACGGUUGCCACCAGUGGGGUUGGAUUAAGUGGAGCAAGACUCCAUGCUUUCAACUCCAGCAAACCAUUUUCUCCAUUUCUUGGGAAGAAGCUCAAGAUUAAACCAAUUUCUGAGUCAAUUCAUCCAACAAAGUUUAACCAUGCAAAAUCCAGGAAUCUUCUUGUUUUAGCAUCUGGGUGGAUUUAAUGAGCUUUGUCAACGAUCUUUUUGUUGGGGUUGGAGUUGGACUUCCAUGUACGGUCAUGGCGUGUGGUGAUAUAAUUUAUAGAAGUACACUUCCAAGCUCAAAUGGUCUCACAGUUACAGUUCCUGGGACGAUUUUAGCACUGGGUGCUUUGUCUUAUUUGUGGGCUACUCCUGGUGUUGCCCCUGGUUUUUUUGAUAUGUUUGUGCUUGCAUUUGUUGAAAGACUGAUUAGACCUACCUAUCGGAAGGUUAGUUGAUUGUCUGGUGAAUUUUUGAUUUUGUAAAGUUUUGAGGAUAAAAUCUUGGAAUUUGGAUAAUUUGAUUUUGUUUUGUGGUGGCAGGAAGAUUUUGUGCUUGGGAGAAAUUAGGUGAAGGGUCUUUUGGUGUGGUUUAUAGAGCUUCAUGGGCUAAAAAGCCCUCCCCAAAGGUAAAUAUUUGACAGGAACUUGCUAGUAUCAAAGUUUUGUUUAUUGUUUAUGUUAUUUCAGCCCUUUCGGAUUUUUUCCCCUUUAUGUGCUUUGCAUGUAUUAUAGGGAAUAUUGUUGAGGUUAUGCUGGUCCCUACUUGAACUUUGAUGGAAUAUUUUCUUCCAUUCUUUUGCUCAAAUGCUCAGACUUUAUAUAGAACCUAAUCACAUGUACAUGUAUCAAGUUUUUUCCAAACUUUUUGUCAAUCUGGAAUGAAUGUGUUAUUAGGCCACAGUUUGCAUUAAUAUUAGUGAUAAAGAUAUCUAGAAGGCAUGUUUGCUAAUUUCUAUUGGUAGCGAUCCUAAAAUAACAAUAGUUGCUAUUGGUUGUCACUCAAAGGGUGGAGAGUUAGUCUUGAAAAAGGCUACUGAAUAUGGAGCAGUGGAGAUAUGGAUGAAUGAACGUUGCGAAGGGCUUGUGCUAGUAGCUGUGCUGAUUUUGUGUAUGGCUUUCUCGAGGUGCUGCUCUCUUUGCCUAAUGUUGCUAAGUAUGAUUAUAGCAGAGAUAAUAAGACAGCUUCAAGCACAUAUCUAUAACUUUUGCAAAUUGGAUUCAUAGUUCUUCAAAGAAACAAGCUGAAUAUUGGCUUAUAUGGCGUUUUGACGGGGAAGCCACACUUGCUGAUUUAAUGCAAAGUAGGGAGUUUCCUUACAAUGUUGGUACCACUUCUGUCUCACCUUAAUUCUAAAUCUGUGAUGCAGAACAAAUCUCCUUGAUGGAAUUUUCAAGUAGAUAUAUUAUGAUGUGGAAAUCAUCUGUUCCAUAUGUUAUCCAUUUUGAACAUCACUAUGACUUAUUAUGUGUAUUUGCUUAGGUGCAUAUUAGACGUGCACAAUUCCAUGAAGGCUCACGGUAGCAUAUUUAAGGACAUAGCUGCUGGCCUAAAAAAGUGCCAACUCUUUCGUUUUGUAACUUAUAUAUUCAAUUCAUGACAUGAAUUAUAUGUAUUGUUACAUAAUGACGUAGGCCAACCAUUGGACCAUAGCUGUGCUUAUUGUUCCAUAGUGUAAAGCCCUAAGAUAAUAGGAUUUCCCUCCAAACAUAGCUGUGCUUAUUGUUCCAAAGUGGUAGAGUAACUGAUUCUUAAUAGAAACAAUAAUGUUGUAUUGUGAGGACAGAAGAGAAUAAAACUGUACUCUCUUCAGGAAAAAUUUCAUAGAGCUUGCCUGCCAAAAGGAAAAAGAUUAUAGUUGUCCAUAUUAUGAUGAACUGGUAGGCAAACAAAGAUAUCAUUGGUAGCUCUCCAGGUACAGAGUAACAACGGUGGCCACAAGAACUUCUCAAAGUGACAAUUGUGUUGUCAGGACCAGAAGGGUGUCAAAAUACUAGCUGAGAUUGGUUUCUAUUAAUAGUCUUUAGCCUCUAUCCCAAGCUUUCAGUGUUGAAGGUGAAUUUGGCUACCUUUAUGAGUGAAACAGUAGAAAUAGAUUUCUAGAACUGCAAGAAAGAAGAAGAUUUACAAAGAAAAUCAGGAAUUACUGAAACAAGGAGCACAGAAAAGAAAACUUGGAAAUUGAAUGAGAAGUCAAAUAUUUGUUCAACUGAAAAGAAAUGUUUGCUAGUAGGAAAAUUCUUGUCCAAGAAUUAAGAAUCCGUUGUCCAGAUUUCCCCUUCUGGCACUCAAAGGGUAGAGCCUGUAGAUUGACUGCUGAAACUAUGAAUCCUGACUAGACACACAAGAUUAAGAUGGUGACCUCUCCAGCUUUGCUUCAGUUAGAUGCUCUAGAUUAGAAACUGAUUCCUUUUUCACAUGGCAAAGUGCUUCAUGGGUGGAUUUCUGAGGUUGAAAACUUUUCCAGUAUAUCCAGGUCUUUGAGUCACUUUUGUUGUAAAAUAUGCCAAAUGAGUCCCCCCCUCCCCCUCUCCUGAAAAGAAGUCCUAGUUGUUUAUCUCCCUUUAACCUAUAUUAGCAAUAGGUUGAUCUAACUAUGGUUUUGUGUUCAUUAUCUUGUCUAAAGAAAAGGUCAAUGCUUUUGUACACUUUUUGCAAUGAGUUGCUGAGACGGUCUCUAUUGACAUAUAAGAUCAAAUUUACAUUUCUAGCCUCUUCUGCUAACCUUAAUGAAGUUUUCGCAAACUUAAAGGUGGAAGCACUGCUUCUGGGGAGGUUAACAACUUGCCUAAGGUCUAGAAAGGGAAAAUCAAAUUAUCCAGACUAUUUUGGGACGGAUCUUGUUUGCAUUAGAUGGUCUUCACUCAACCGGAAUUGUCCACAGAGAUAUUAAGCCACAGAACAUAAUUUUCUGAAGGUGACUGUUUUGUGCCAACCUUAUUAGCAGCUCGCUUAAACUCUCUCUCUAUUGUUUCUUUCAGUUUUUUUUCUUUUUCUUUUCAUUUUUCUUCAUUAAAUGUGAUGCAGGUUCUCGCACAUUCAAAAUCAUUGAUCUUGGAGCUGCUACAGAUUUAAGGGUGGGCAUCAAUUAUAUUCCUAAGGAGUUUCUGUUAGAUCCAAGGUAACUUUUCAGCUCAACAAAAAUAAUCACUGCCAGGAGCAUGUUGGUUUCUUCUCUAUACACUAAAGUACUCAAACUUGCAAAUAGCUGCUGAUGAAGUACUAAAGUUUCUAGGCAGCCUAAUCAAAUGUCAUUAUCAAACCAAUAAGAAAGUAUCAGUUAGUUACUCAUGAGAAAUCCUGUAAAAUCCUGGAUAUUGACCCAAAUCCUUACCUGGGGUCAUCUACUCAAAUGUUACCUUUUUCAUUAGGAAAAGAAAAUUAUGUUGAGCAAAGUAUCAAUCAACUUCAGUUAUCUCAGAUCAAAAUGUGUAAUAGUCCUCCCUACACCAAAAUUCAUCCCAGAAUUAGUGGCCAUCUUGGUUCUCUUAGUCAUGUCAAAAGCUAGGAAAAAUUCACGCAGGGAUGAGAGGGUUAGAAAAUGGAGCGCUACAAACCUCCACCCCUCCUUCCCCAAAAACGACCUUUUUAGUCAUAGAGGAAAUGUUUCUUCGUAGAAAAAGCCAACCAACCAUCAAGUAUACUUUGUUUUUGGGAAGGGAAGAAGAAGAGGGAAGGAGCGAAUUUUUGGGCAAUGGAACAACUUUAAAGUUGACUUCUUUUGUACUUUUGGAAGUCCAUCACAAUUAAGAAUAUUUUUGUUUUCGAUUUCCCAUAAAUUGCGCAAUAUUAAAUAACCGUUCUACGUGACUUUCAUAACCAUUUGGUAUCAGGCAGUAGAAGAGUGUAUUUCAUACUAUGAACUGAUUUAGUUUGACAACACCAUCGAGUUGAUUUUGUUCAAUACGAUCCACAAAUUUAAAUUAUCACCUCAAGAAGUCAAAUACAUAAUAUCUGAGUUGAAGUUGUAAUAAGUUAUUAUCCCAGUAACAGUUUCAUAUUUGGAAUAUACAUUGGGACUGAAAUCAUUAGGAUUUAUUUGAUCUCUUUACGGAUAUUCAUUGAGCAUUAUCCAAGCUAACAGGAGCUACUUUCUUGAUAGGCUCCAAGCAUCAAUCUAAUUCCAUCAAUUAUAGAUUCACAUGAUUCCAGACUUUGGUUUAUUUGCACAACAUUAUUAUUUCUCAUUUUCUCCAGGUAUGCUGCACGACUGAGCAGUAUAUUAUGAGCACUCAAACACCCUCUGCACCUUCAGUUCCAGUUGCAACGGCACUAUCUCCUGUUUUAUGGCAGGUAUUGUGUCUUCUAUGAAUACUUUCAUCUUCACGCCACCUUGAGGUUGAGCGAUACAUUUGACUUACCCCUAAACAACAAUGUCUGAGCAGCUAAAUUUGCCAGAUCGCUUUGACAUCUACAGCGCCGGGCUCGUAUUUUUACAAAUGGUAAGUUAGCGAUACUAGUUAAUUAUGACUGUUUCUCCUGGAUGAUGUCCUAGGAAUGAAAGCAGUUACGUAUAGGAGAACAAUAUACUCUUUUCACGAGUAUAAAAAAUGGUCAAUAAGUAGUUGGAAUAUCCUUUGCUGAGAUUGUCAUUCUGUACUUAUUUUCACAUUGUCAUUGACUAACAAACUUCACCAUGUUUAAAAUUCAAACGGAAAAAAGAAAAAUCUUUGGAAAGAAUUUUCUGUCUCUGUCUGCAUAUAACAAUGGCACAAAUAUAUGUAAAUCAUGUUUGAUAUUCCUUUUGAGGUUCUGCAUUUCAAAAUUUCCCUACAGAGAAGCUAACUCGAUCCCCAAGUGCGGCAUUGAAGUCUGAAACUAAUCAAGUAACACUAUGAUUGUGGUGAUUGAUAAUUACUGUUUUAUUGCAUUGGGUGUAGUGUUUGAUUGGCACUGCCUUAGUGACUUCCCCCUUAUUGAUGAUGAGCUCAUUGCCUGCAGGCAUUCCUGGACUACGAAACGACAAUAGUCUCAUACAAUUUAACCGUCAGCUAAAGCGAUGUGACUACGAUCUGGUUGCAUGGAGGAAUACAGUAGAACCACGUGCAAGCAAUGAGCUUAGAAGGGGCUUUGAGUUGUUAGAUCUGGAUGGUGGCAUUGGAUGGGAACUUUUAACAUCAAUGGUUCGGUAUGACGCCAAAGAGUCAGCGCAAAAGAAGCUUUAGCUCAUCCUUAUUUUGAUAGAGAAGGCCUAUUGGCCAUGUCCUUUAUGCAGAACCUAAGGAUGCAAUAUUAUCGAGCGACACAAAAAGACUAUAGUGAAGCUCUCAAGUGGGUUGUUCGGCUGAUGGCAAAGUCAGGAACAGAGCAGGACGGUGGCUUCACUGAAGCACAGCUUCAGGAGCUCAGGGUUUGUAUAUGCUAAACUGCAUAUUAUGGAUUUUAGAAAUAGUUACACUAUGAGUUACAACUCUCUAUCUGCUUUAUGCAGGAUAUACAACCUAAAAAGAAGUCGAGUGCGCAAAGGAAUGCUCUUGCAUCAGCUCUCAAGCUGCAGAGAAAAUCACAAGGACAUUAAAGGAGAGUGUUGAUGAACUUAAUCAAAGGCGAAAGAGCGUAUGGUGGAAUCGGUGGAUCCCAAGAGAGAAUGAAAUUUGUAAAAAUAGUAAUUUGCUUAUGCAUGUAAAUUAUUUUGCAGUCCUCAACCUUAACUUCUCUAGCGGAGUAAAUGAUGUUUAAUAGAGAGUACAAAAGCAGAUUUUAUAUAAAAAGUAAUAAAUGAUGUUUAAUAGAGAGUACAAAAGCAGAUUUUAUACUGUAUAAAAAGUAAUGUACAUCAUUCCACUCACACUCGGAUUAAUCCUCUUGUAUGGUAGGAGACGUAUAAAAGAAAAUUUACAGAUAAUCGAUUGUCCCUUCAGUUUUCUGAUUCUGAAUUUCAUACCAUUAUCCUAAGGCAUGCAGAAACACACAUUAACCAAGGCCAAAGAUCAUUCCUGUUGCAUAAUUCAGCCCUUCAUUUCACUUUCUCAAUUUAUUCCUUUUGUAGUAACAUGGAUACGUAGUUCGUUGGAGCUACAAAAAUAGGCAUAUAGAUAGCAUGAUAAUUGACUAAUUAUUUCUGUCUUCCUCACUGGAAUGAAGAUUGUAAGUAGCUAUAAUACGUGUGCAUUCAUCAUUUCCAUAUCCAUUGAAUGGAGUUAGUAGGAAAUGGAACAUCAUAUACACAGUUUUUUCUUCUUUAAUUUCCUUAGCAUUUCUCUUAUUUGCCUCCUUAUCCUAAUCUUGCUUUUCUAUUAGUACUAGUAAUUUCAUCUUGCUUAAUUUGGUGUGUUCGGAAACAAAAAUUUUUCAAAUAUUAUUUUAUUUGUGUCAUAAAAAUAUUUUUCAACCACGUUUUUAUAUUUUUAAUUAUUUUUUUAUUUCACGUACAUCAUAUCAAAAAAAAGUGCUAUAGUGACCUUUCUAAAUAAUAUUUCAAGCAAUCUGCCAUCCAAACACACUACGGUAAUUUCAGUUCUGCCACGCUCCAUAAUGCUCAAUUAAAAAUCCUUUCCGGAUCUCAAGGUUUUCACAGCAUACCUGGGAUAUUUCCAGGCAAAAACUGUUAAGGAUGACGAUGAGCCAUGUUAUGGCAUGAGACCUAUCAUUGUGCCAACAAUGUAUUGACCCAUUGUGCUGGAUACGUAUGAGAGUUUCAGAGUUGUGAUAUACAAGUCGGAAUAAUUACAUAUCUAAGCUAAAACUUUAAGAUGAUAAAUGCGUAAAAAAAUAAAAAGGAUAAUGAAUAAGUCAAGCUAAUUCUCUGUUCAUGUUGUGUUCCCUACCAAUAGAGGAUAUAGGGCUUGUUUUCAAAUGAUUCUAAGUAAAUUAAAACAAGAAGAUAAAUGUUUUUAGCUUCUGAUUCGAAUUAUGAAAAUCAGAAGCAUCUGUGAGAACUUAUCUACAAAGAUUGAGGUUCUCUGGUAAGCUGACAACUUCAUCCCCGAACUUGCAUGGCAAUUCAUAGCUAAGUAAAACUUAAAACUGAGGCCAACGGUGACAGGCCAGAUAACCAAGAAUUGGUCACGUUGUUAGUUGAAAACAUUGGAAGCAAUUCUGACAUGCUUAGGAUAAGUAAUUAUUGUUCGUACAGUUAAUUAACUGUCAUCAACUCACUAUCAAGAAACCCUUCAGUCUCCACCAUCAUCCUACCUUCCUUCCUCUCCUGAGGGAACUCCAUUUAUGGAGAUUUGAUACGCACGUAAGAAUACAAAUCAUGCACUACUAUGCUUCUUACUACUGAUAUUUGUUUGAGCAUAAAUUAUUACCCAUUCGUGCUGGCUUAUGGCAGUUGACACCACAAUUAGAGUACUUAACAUAUUCAAAUCUGCAGAAGUAACGUCACCAAUAACUAAUUUACAACUAAGUACUAUUGCUUUGCGGAUGAACUAGCUUUUAAAUAAUUUAGGUGAAUAUACCUACUUAUAUAGAGUUCAAACGUUGGUGGCAGCAAUAAUUAACGAUUAGUAGCAUAAGAUGAUGUCGAGAAUAGCAGGAACAACAACCGUAUCAACCAUGAGAGCUUCACGUGUGACCUGACCUUCUUGUUCAGGCACACAAAAGUCCACUUUUUUAGCCCUUGACAGUACAACACACACCCCACCAUAGUCACUUCAAAGUAAGCCUGGAAGACUCGGAUUAUGGCAUAGUACAAGUUUCUUAAUCAGCACUGUCCCCCUCAGACUUGUUUUCUUUCUUUUAUUGAUAUUUUCCCCUUACCCAAUGUGGUUUUGGGUCAUAGCCCAUCGUAUGAUUUUAUUGGCAUUUCAAAGUUUUGAUUAGCUUUGGAUAUUUCAUGGUUCAUGAUCAUUUGUUGUUUUAUGCGUGAAUAGAACAAUGACUAUAGCUUACUGAGUCAUCCUGCAUCUAUUUUAAGGACCUGCACAUUGCUUUAUCAUGAGCUAUGGAGCUUGGACUCAAUGUAUCAUGAUUUAACCUUGACUCAGACAUAAUGAAAAUCCAUCAUGGCGGACGAAUUCCCCAUAAGUUAGGUCCAUCUACACGCUUAACAUAAGAUAUGAAAGGAAAAAUUCUUCACUAUGUAAUUGCUAUCAUGCAUUCAAACUCAUCAGUAGAAGAAACGUUUUUCUAUGGCAUAGCCUAAUAUCUCCAAAAAAAACUAAAGGAAAGAGCAAAAAAAAAAAAAAAGAGAGAAAGAAAAACCAUGUAUUACACUUAGUUCAAGCUGACUAGAAAAACCAAUAAAACUUAAUGUCCAAGUCAAGGAGUUGGAGUGUGAACUGUUACAUUACGUUAUGUAAUUACUUUAUAUAAUGAAGUGUCAUGCGUUACAUUAUGUUGUUGCUUAAUACCUUUAUUUAUUUCGAGUGAUGAGUUUGAAUUGAAGACAGCUAACUAUAGACAUACGUGAGCUCAGAAACUGAGAAUGGCAGCUUCAAAACUGCUCAAAAGAAAGAACCCCCAAAACAAGAAAGUAAAAAAAAUCUUAAAUCAAUAGUUUAUUAGAACUUUAGGUUACUGAAAGCUGGUGUCCUUAGUGAAAUGGGAGGAACACGAGAUCAAGCAAGUGGGUUGGCUUUGCUUGGUAACCUGAUCAUCAAGAUUAAAUUAAUCAUUCACUUAAUCGAAUUUUGUGCUGUUUCCCCACUAGAUUUCAGCAAGAAAGGAGUAGUAGAAAAUUCAGCUAUGGUCAUUGCUUGGAAAUGUGGUUUCUUGGGUUCUUAAAUGUUGGUGCAAUAAAAGAGAAUAUGGCGGGGUAAUUGAAGGCUCACGUGAGGCUUAGUUUGACCGUUAUUUUGAUCGAUUCCCACAAGUAGCGUAAAAAUUCUCGUAAUUAAGCCAAAAUAUGCAGGGCAUACGAUGUUGAAACUUGCUUCCAUUUUUGCAAUUUAAUUCUCUCAAGCAUAUCUUUCUUUGAUCCCUUUUGGUUUUCAAUGUCAUUUUCAGAAUUUUCUAGCACAAUACUUUUUAUGGGUUCUUUGCCUUCAAUUUAUUUUGACAAAUUAUGACAAAAUGUUUCCUACAAAAAAAUUCAAUGCCAUUUACUUUGAGCAGAGUGAUUUCCAUUGGAAUUGUUGAAGACGAUCCUGCAAAGUAAAACGGUGACAAGGCAUCUUCAUUCAGCAAGUUCUUUAAAUUUCUCAUUCAGGAUGUUUUUUUGAUACCUUAGCUUAGUAGGGUAAAUACUUUAAUGCCAAUCCAAAUUUACAGAUACUCGUUGUGGUAGUCAACCUAAGAUGACUGAACCAGAUAUGAUUUCUCCUGUUAAAGAUAUUAUUACAAAAAAAAAAUCUCAAUAAAAUUAAUUCGUUCUUGGGUCAAUUCAAACUUUUAUUGUUUGCAUGGCAUGCCAACUGUAAGUUUAGUGCUUCAAGAAAAAAGAAAAAUGGAAAUCAAAACUUUGAAUAUAACACUUUGUAUAUCAGUGAUCACUAUAGUGACCACUAAUGAUACAGAAGGCAGAAUUCCUGGAAAAAAUGUUGCCUUGAAGCCUCCACUUGCACCCAUUGUCAUACAUACUGUCUCCGUAACUCCCAAUUAUACAAAGCAACUACUGGAACUGUUGACUUGAAGUUGCAACCGCACCCCAUUAUCACACCUAUUGUCCCAUAUGAAUAAUGCUGAUGGAAAUUUUGCUGGAUUAGAUUGGGAUAAUUCAUUAUAGUAGGCUAUUAGGUGGUGCUUUACUUUACAUGUACGUUAGUUAAAAUGGGCAUUUUUUAGUAGGAUCCAACUGAGACCCUCACUUUGUCUGUUUAGGUGGAUCCGACUCAAAUAAGACAUGAACUUAAAUGAGUGUACCAGAAAUAUGCAGGAGAAGGGUCACUUUGACCAAAAUUAUCACCUCAUCAUCAACACUAUUGCAAGGCAGCUCAUAAACUAAGGAAUUGUGCUACCUUAUUGAAGUAAUGGCUGACCCCUUAUGUUGGUAGGUGAUGCAUGAUAACCAGAGUUGUAUAUAGAGAAUGACAUGGCACUAUGGCAUUGAAUCUACACUUGUACAAAUAUGCAUUAGUAGCGGUAUUUAUUUACUCACUAGUGUUUGAAUAAUUUUAAUCUUUAUUUUUUUUUCCUCCAUGUUGGGGGUUUAUAGCAUGGAAUCCCAAGUGGGUAUGGGACCCUUAUGGUACUGUCUGGUGAGCUAGGGGGCACUGCACACACCUUGAUGCCCCAUAGUUGGCUCUUUACUCGACCAAGGCAAGUUUGGACCACACUUGAAACUCCUUAUAUAAAGAGCCCUUCUUGCUCUUUGUUCAUCACUUCAAUUUCAGCAACUUCUUCAUUCAUCACUUGUGAGUUUACCUGCACCAAAGCACAAAGAAGAAAAAAGAACACUUCUUGCAAUCUAUUGUAGAGAAGAUGAAGAUGAGCAGCACAAACAUGGGAAGCUCCAAGAGAAGAAUUUCAAGCAGAGGACUAGGAGGGGUCCUAAGAGAGCAAAGGGCUAGGCUUUACAUAAUCAGAAGAUGUGUGGUCAUGCUGCUUUGCUGGCAUGAAUGAAGAGUAUCUUUCUAGUUCUAUCUAGCCUUCAAUAAGAAGGGAUGCUUGUUUUUUUCUUCUUCUUCUUCUUUGAUCAUCUUGGGGAGUGUAAAUAGCAAAGGCCGAGAUUAGUGAGAAAGAAGUUAACAAUUUUGUACUAAUUAUUAAUUGGCUUUAUGAGCCUUCAUGUGUAUACAGUCGGAUAGCUUAAUGGAUUGAAAAAAUCAUCUUUAUCAAUUCAUUGAGUCUUAGUAAUUCUUUUCAUUUUCUCUCCUUUGAUAUUAUGUGUUAUCAUUUCUGCUGUGGAUUUUUGAAGAUGGAGGACUAGUUCAUCAGCCAAACUUAAUCAAGCUAUUGUAGGAUGAGGACAUGCUCACAAAAUUGGGUAGCUGAAGUCUAAUUCACAUUAAUCUUUACCUUCUGGUGAUCGGCUAAUCAUCUUUAUUUGAUCAUUUCUUUCAUCAGUCCUCAUGGAGGUUGACUAGUUUAUUAUCCUCACAAUAGUUCACAUUCAUCGCAGUCCUCAACGUACACAAAAAACAAUGAAGAUAAUGAAUGCUUGGAUAUUUAAGCAAUAGGGAACUGGUGAUGACCAAAUUGGGAAGAUGUAUGAUCGGAUUCUUUAGUGCUAGCUCAAAGUUCAUAUCAACUUCAAUUUGCAGAUUUUUCUACUUGUAUUUUCGUACCUGAAUUAUUCGAAUAUCUGGAUCCCCAGAUUCAGAAUCAGAUGAGCAGGACUUCCAAGUUUCUUCCCAGAAAUUAAAAUUCAAAAAUCCAGAUCUUUGGAAGACUUUUUUAUUUCGUUUUAUUUUGGUAUUGGCAUUGGAUUGUUUUCUUUCCCGCAAGAAGUAGUACUAGUACUUACCUGUCGUCCAAAUUUAGAAGCUACCUAAGCCAUCCAACAAGUACCAGAGAAAACAGGGUGGAAAAAUUUUGUAUUCGUUUUAUUAGGCUUAGCCAGUCAGGUUUAUAGCAGAUACCAUACAUAUUACACUUAAUUUUGCAGGCUUUUUUUUUUCAGAAAAGAAAGUAGUUGAUAUUUCUAGUAGAUUUAUGCUCUUUAUUUCUGCGCAUAAACUUGAAUUAAACUCUUGACUGGUGCAAACAAGUAAGGGAAAAAAAAAUAUAGAUUAUCUUUAAUUAGCAGAACAAUGACUAAACCUUUUUUCUUUAUAUAUAGAUUUUGAGCGAAUUAUUAGCAAAAACCUAGAAAUAGUAGUAUUAUUUCCUGCUGUUUUAACACUUUCUGAUUAUCAUGUAGGCCCUAUAAUCAUUUAAAGUGAUAAAUGUUGUGAUCUUACUUUCCUAGUUUCCAAUCCAGUCAAACUAUUUACAAACUUUUUGUACUCUCAGGAAAGCAGGUCCAAAAAAGACACAGAGUAUCUUAUAUAUUGCAAAGUAUGUUAUUACUUAAUUGUUACAUGCUUAAUUAACGAUUUUGAUUGUCGUCUUGUGAAUUGCAGGUGCAGCAAGAAAUUGACUUAAGACACUAAUUGAUAUAUUUCAUCUGUUUCUUUUGUCUGCUUUUGAUAAUUGAGGGUUUGGUAGCUACAAACAUGAAAAUUUAGCUAAUUAAGCUUUAAUAAUUAAGUUGGAGAUUAGUUAGUUUGUGACAAGGUAUUGUCUUGAUCAUCUUGUCUUCAACCAAACCUGCAUUAGUGAAUUUCAAAGUAUUGUAGUCGAAGAAAGAGAUGUUGGCCCAACCAGACAACGCCACUGACUCUUAUGCCAAUUAUGUUAAAUCCUGUGAUUAAUGAUUAUCCUAUCCAAGGGACAUUGGAGUCAAACCUUCAUUUCAUUAACAAUUGUGGUAAGGGACUCCAACCUAAUAUUUACAUGUGCCAUGCAUAUUAUAUAAACUGAAUUAUUAAGUAGUAGUAGUAGUAGUAGAAUUGAAAUAAUAGCACACAAAAUUAAUUAGGAUAAACAGUCAGAUAUUAACACUUCAAACUAUAUAUGCUGAACUCUUUUUUUUUUUUUUUGGAAAACAAUAAUGGGGUCAUAGGACUAUAAUGUUCAGCGUGUCCCCAGAAAUUAAUUUAUACUGCUCAUCUUGUACGUCUAUUUUUCUCCCCCUAAAGUUGAAAUGAUUUCUUUUUGCAUCUAGCUCAAGAAAUCAAUAUAGUUAGUCUUAGGAAGUAGAAACUUGAAUUUAGUAAAGUUUCUGAAAUUUUCAGAAAGUAGAAUAAGUGUGCAAUAAAGAUGCUACUUUUUUCUCCAAUGACCCCCUAAAAAAACAACAAAGAAAAGAAAUAAAGAAAAAGAAAACAACAAAUUAAGAAAAGUGCAAAACAUAAACUUAAUAGUGUCUUGUAUGGAAUUCUCCUCAACCAAAAAUUUGGACACCGUUAUAAGCUUAUAAACAUUCUUGGAAUUAAUCACAGAAUUCAAGUCAUUCUCAUUCAUCCUUGUGCUAUUUAUUUUUCCUUUUCCCUAGAAUAAUCUUCUUGGAAGGUAUUCAUUAUUCUCUUUUUCUUUUUCCAUUUUCUCCCAAUUAUUCAGCUAGAGUUGGGCCAACAGGCGCUUAACAACAAAAAGAAAAACUAGUGCCAGAACCAAGCUGCGGAAAAAAACAAGAUAGGAUAAAAAGGAACAAAAUAUUUGUAUUUUAGUGAUCGUGAGGUGCCACAUUAAUUAGUUGUUCUAGUUGAAUUAAAACUUAGGUGAUAGUGACGAACUAAAAAUAAUGGAUAUCAAUUGUCCUGUUUGUUUAAUUUUUAGUAACAUUAUACACAAAGUCUAAAUUUCAAUCUGCAAAUUUACUAUUAAAAACUUGAUAUUUAUAAAUUAAAAAAAAUUAAUCUUUUAAAAUAGCGUAAGUGAAAGGGUUCGAAUUCAAAAUCUCGCAUUUACACUCUUUUAUUUUUAAAUAAAAAGAGAGUUAUUAUACUAGUGCUCUAUAUAUUAUCAAGAAACGUGCCAUCUAAAAACAUACAACAUAAGAAAUAUCGUUCAUCUUCUGUUUAUUGGAUGCCAAAUCAAUUAAAUGCCGAAUCAAAUUUUGAUGUAAGAUGGUUGAUGUUUCAUGUUUCUUGAAGGGCUUGUGAGAUUUAUGAUUAAAACGUCAACUUUUAUGUUUAAAUUCAUCUGGAAUCAAACUUACAGCGCGAAGCUUACUGCGUUUGCCAUUCUUGCGGCAUCAACAUGAUCUGAUCUGUGAUGAUGUUACUAAAACUGUUCUUUUCUUCUUUCCCCUUCAAAAGAAAAAAGAUCAUGUACAGAAAGAAAAGGUGAACAAACAAAAGUGCUGUACAAGAAAAAAUAAAGAAUGGCAAAUGGGGUGAAGGAGUUGAAACAGUUAAAAGUCCAAAACUGAAGUGGGGCAAAGAUUGUCAGGCUGCACAGGAGCUGAAUCGCUAAUCUAAUAUUCUGCUGUCGGCCACAUAACAAUUGCCAUCUCAUCUCGUCUCUCAGCUAAGCCAAAAUUGAGGUGAGCUCAAGAAAUGGAGUGAUGGAGCCAACCCCGACACAAUGUGAUCAGUCAAAAUGGCAGCCUUAUCCACCCCCACGUGCAUUUUCUUAUCUUCAACCCACCACCACCACCAUCCCAGCCCAUGAGGCAACCACCACCACCACCACCACCUCCACAACGACCAUGACCUCCCUCCCCUUUCAAACCCCCCAGUCCCCACUCCCUGUGAUUCUUUUCUAAUCAUCAAAAAUCCCCAUCAAAGUGGUCCGCCCGCCUACCCCUCCCUAGGCAUAUAGAUUCUUCCUAUGUAGUACUCGUAUACUUACUUCCAGUAUGGACUUGGACUAACAUGCAUACAUCAUCACUGCUAAAAAAUUUAACCGAUAUAUCUUCAAAAAAGAAAGAAAGAGAGGAACGUAAAAAUUGUUUCAAGAUUCAGAUCAACUGCUAUAUGCAUGUAUAUAUGUAUGUUUGUGUGUGUAUAUAUAUAUAUCUUCUUGUACUUGGGAUGCAAUAGACGUUCAAUGCCAAUAUCUGACUAAGAUAAUUCAUAUCUCCUUCGUUACGUACGCUUGAAUGGAUGAUUGGCUUUGCAAUGGAUGAUAUAUCUCCCAGUUUUGGAGUCUAAUCUUAUCACCCGCCAAGCAUACAUGCUCGCCCGUUUGUAGAUACAUCUGGGUGAAUUGAUGCGUAGUUUUGGUAGGUAAGGUGAGUCAGAGUUGAUAAGAACAGCUGACUAACGAGUAACUGGGUGGAAUCAUAAUUUACGUAAAUUAAAUGGGUCAGAAAGGCAAUUAAAUGAUAGGUCUACGCGUGUCAAUAUUUCUUCCCCUCCCAUGCGACCCUUUGGCAUAGAUGCAAAGGAAGUGGAAAGCCUGGAAGGGGUUUCGAUGAGCUUAGAACUUUGGAAGGCUUUGGUGGGCAUCAUCACUUGAACUCAUUUCUCAAUUGUUUCUGUCAAUUGUGCCCGCAAUUAUUCGUUGUGAGAAAGUGACUACAGAUGGGAGCACAGUGGGCGCUUUCAUGCUAAAAGAAUGUGGUUUUGUCCACCUCCCAAACACGCCCCCCCUCCCAAAACCCCCCAUCCCUACAGCAAUUACCUCUGACUUGAAUAUAAAUUUAAAUCUAACAAAGAAAAUGAAGAAAAAAGGGAUUAUGUGAUAAAUUUCUUGUAAUAAAGAGUACAUGAUUACCUUUUUGCUGGUUAGAUUACUUUGAUCGUUAGUCAUGAGGAUAGUUUGUAGGUAGGUUUCAUCAACGUAAAGGGUGAUUUGUUACUUACCUCUAAUGAGAGGGGGGUAAUUGAAAUUUAGCCUGGAAUGAAAGGAAGGAGAAAUCAAUCAUGCAGAGUCUAUAUCUUUUGAUUUUUUAUUCUUGUGAGAGGAUUUAAUAUUGAGAAUCGAGAGGCCAAUACAUUGCGAUAGAAACAAGAGAAGAAGAAGCCAGAAGUGGUCCAUUUCCACAUGGAUUAAUUUAACUCUUUCGGACUUGUGGCAUUAGGGGUUCAGCCUAGAUGGUGUCUUAUUGGGACACAGCCACUCAUGCAGCUCUCUGCAUUGCUUCUUUCGGUGCUUUGAACUUUGAAGGCUUGCUUGCUUCAUGAUGGUCAAGACACUAAACUAUAGAUGUAAAAAAAAACACUCUUUUUUUCUUUCCAACCUCAAUGUCCUCCUUGUCCACCUCCAAUAAUAUAUCUAUCUAAAUCGAUCUGUGUGGAUGAUUGCUGAGAAUAGUAACCUUUUGCAUUAU
RNAcentral lists this long non-coding RNA (62705 nucleotides) under Coffea arabica (coffee). Its description in RNAcentral is "long non-coding RNA (CARA_LNC007598)". Lineage: Eukaryota; Viridiplantae; Streptophyta; Magnoliopsida; Gentianales; Rubiaceae. The record is from RNAcentral.